UCGAUGACGGCCUAUUUGCCAGGAAUGAAAUUGGUGGCGAAGGCCCAGGGGUUGUUGUUGACGGGGUCAGCAAGGUGGUCAGCGAGGUUCUCGAGCAGGCCUUUGCCUGUGACGAUGGCCUGUACGAAGAAGCCGAACAUGGAAAACAGCAAGGCGGCCAUUCUUGAGCUCCUUUACCUUGAGCUCGGCGAAUGCCUCUAGGUCAUCAGCCAAGCCGAGUGGGUCGAAGCUACUGCCGGGGUAGAGAGGGUCAACGAUCUCACCAAGCGGGCCACCGGCAACACGGUAUCCCUCAACGGUGCCCAUGAGCACAACCUGGCAAGCCCAUAUGGCCAGGAUGCUCUGCGCAUGGACAAGGCUCGGGUUGCCGAGGUAGUCAAGGCCACCCUCACUGAAGAUCUAGGAGCCGGCCUUGAACCAGACGGCCUCGCCGAACUUCACGCCAUUGUGAGCGAGAAGCUCAGGGAAGACACAACCGAGGGCACCAAGCAUGGCCCAGCGGGAAUGGAUCACCUCCAACUCCCUGUUCUUGGCAAAGGUCUCAAGAUCAGGGUCUCAAGAUCAGCCGAGAGCCCGGCGGUGUCCCACCCGUAGUCACCAGGAAACUCACCGGUCAGGUAGCUCGGGGGCUCGUCAGAGAGCGGGCCGAGGUACAACACGCGGUCAGAGCCGUACCACGGGCUACCCGAGGACACCGGCUUGGCCUUGGCAGCGGUCUUCCGCAUGGUGACCCGGGCCUCGCCGAAGAGAGCUGCCGACGGCAGGUUCUUCACCGUAUUGCCGGCAAAGGCCGAGGAAGAAAGAGACAUGGUGGUGGCCGCCAUUGCACUUGCUUUUAAGACCGGUGGUUGCUGACCUCCGUGCUCUCCAAUAGUAUUGGAUGAGUGUGAAGAACUGGAGAUGGUAUCAGAAGAGAGGAGGAUGGAGCUAGUUAAAGGAGUGAGAAAGAACGGAGGGGAUUGCCCGGUACGGUGCUGGCAAGGGGGAGAGAGCCUGAAAAAUCUGAAGCUGCGUUGCCAUUGGUGCACAGUUGGCGCAGCAAGGGCCUCAUGUGGAUAUACGAUAAAGUUGUGGGUAGGGCUAAGAGGAGUCCCCGUGGAGAUGUGUGAUUGGGCUGAGUUUGAUGAACAAUCGCACAGGGACACAAGUGAUUUGCGCUGCAUAAACUGUCAUAGCUAUUCUGAUCCGCUUUAUUUGCUUCUUAUACAGACUCUGUAAACUUGGCCUGUACUAGCUAACUGACGCCUAAAUGAAAAUGAAAAUACCAGACAGAACGAGUCUUACUGACGUGCCAUCCCACGGUGUUGAUCGUGUCCUGGUCAUGCCGCCAUUGACGCUUGAUUCGUGCCAUCCCACGAAGCAGUCAAAGGCGGCGCACUAAAGCAGCUGACUAACAAGUAGUGACUCAGGCAAGACCGCAAGACACGAACAAACACGUGCCAGAUGCCUGUUUAUUCAGUUACUGAACUUACUGAAGAAAAAUGACACCGACAACAACAUUACGGUGAACAGUACAUUAAGUAUUACUGCUUAUUCAUUAUUGCUUUGUGGUCAUUGUCUUUUGACGUUUUCUGUGGAAUACCUAUUUUUAAUUUCUCUCUUCCUCAUGAUUAGUAUGACGCAAUAAGUUAAUGGAAAUGAUUCAGGGAUAUGAGACUGUAAUUGUUCAAGGAGAUUAUUGGGUUGGUAAUUCAGGAUAUUUUUGAUACGAUGAUUCUUUCCAUUCUUAGUUUGUUUCAUGGUAAACGACCAAUUAGUGAAAGUGACCUCUUAAUGAGGGCCUCGUUUUCAUAUAUACACAUGUCGAAAAGCUGGUGGGUAGAUCUUGUGGUAAUAGACAUGAUCCUCUAGUUUUUAACUCUGAGUUUAUGUAUUCUAUAUCCGACAAUUGGCGGCGUGCUCAGUUUUGUAUGCGAUUGGUAAGCACAUGUCAUUGGUUACAAUAAGUGCAAAACAUACGUCAGAGAGUAUUGUUCUGAUAAAAUACCAAAUGGCUAGAUGCAGAAUAUCAGAGAGUAAAGUGGCCUUCGAAUCAAACAAUCUUUUUCAUGAGAUCCUCGUUGUAUACAUCAUCAUCAUGGUAGUACAAAUCACACCAGCUAUCCACACUUCAUAGUUGCAUGGUCGAUCUCGUUGACUACUUGCCGGGGACGAAGUUGGUGGCGAAGGCCCACGCAUUGUUGUUGACAGGGUCAGCAAGGUGGUCGGCGAGGUUCUCAAGUGGGCCCUUGCCGGUGACAAUGGCCUGUACAAAGAAGCCGAACAUGGAGAACAUGGCGAGACGGCCAUUCUUGAUCUCCUUCACCUUGAGCUCUGCGAAUGCCUCGGGGUCGUCGGCAAGGCCGAGUGGGUCAAAGCUGCCGCCGGGGUAGAGAGGGUCAACGAUCUCGCCGAGCGGGCCACUGGCAACACGGUAUCCCUCGACGGCGCCCAUGAGAACGACCUGGCAGGCCCAAAUGGCGAGGAUGCUCUGGGCAUGGACGAGGCUCGGGUUGCCGAGGUAGUCAAGGCCCCCCCUCAGUGAAGAUCUGAGAGCCGGCCUUGAACCAGACGGCCUCGCCGAACUGAACACCAUUGCGGGCGAGAAGCUCAGGGAAGACGCAACCGAGCGCGCCAAGCAUGGCCCAACGACAGUGGAUCACCUCAAGCUCGCGGUUCUUGGCAAAGGUCUCGGGGUCCGCUGAGAGCCCGGCGGUGUCCCACCCAUAGUCGCCGGGAAACUCACCGGUUAGGUAACUCGGGGGCUCGCCAGAGAGCGGGCCGAGGUACAGCACACGGUCGGAGCCGUACCACGGGCUGCUCGAGGAGAUUGGCUUGGCCUUGGCGGCGGUCUUGCGCAUGGUGCCCCGGCCUCACCGAAGAGAGUCGAUGACGGCAUGUUCUUCACCGUCUUGCCAGCGAAGGCCGAAGAAGAGAGAGACAUGGUAGUGGCUGCCAUUGCGCUAGCUCUUAAAACGGUGGUGGUCGAACUCUAUGCUUCUAAUAGUAUUCUGUGAGUGUGAAGGACUGAAGAUGGAUUCAGAAGGGAGGAGGAGGGAGCUACUUAAAGAAGUGAGAAGAGAAGACAGAGGGAAUUGAUCUGUGCUGGCAAGAGAGACACAGCCUGAGAAAUCUGAUGCCACCAUCUCAUUGGUGCAGCGGCCAUCCGGGUACAGUUGGCGCAGGGACAUCCUCAAGGGGAUGGGAUAUAGUCGUGGGUAGGGCUUGGGGAUUCUGCAUGUGCACUACAAUUUGUUGUACAACUAAUAAGUUAUUGAGUUUAAUCAGUUAUUGAGGAUUCUGCAUGUGCACUUACAAUUUGUUGUACAACUAAUAAGUGUUAAUUUGCUUCCUCCGAAGGUAAUAGUCAAAAGAAGUUUUUUGUUGGUAAACUGAUAGUAAACAUGCUCGAUCAACAUGUAUUGUCCACAUAUGGAGUUAAAAAUGAAUUAGCCAGUCGUGGGGCCAUAAUUUAGCCUUUGCUCAUGUACAUAGUAACUUUAUAUAAUCCGUGCUUUUAUAGUAUUGACCGUGACGGGGUGAAACCAGAUGGCACGAUCCACCUGUAAGAACAAAAGGAUUCGGGUUAAAAGCUUUAGUGGGAUCAUUAGUGACUGAACUUUUGCUAAAUGGGGUCAAAAAAGAAAUCACACUAAAUGAAACCAAAGCUGUAAGAAACAUAAAUUGAGGGGUCAAAAAAUAGAAUUCACUCUUUUAUGAACGUGUGAGGAAAGAAAUUAUUUCAUAAUUAAUGAAAAUAAAAGUCAGCGGAAUGGGGAACAUUGUUACGCGAGGUUAUUGGGUUUGAGUAAUUUAGAUGAUUGUUUUUAAUCUUUGCUUGUAUAAUAAAAACAUCAUUUUUAUUUUGGCGUGCAGAAAAGAUGACAGAUAGAUCUUGUGAUCACAGAUAUGAUGCUCUAAUUGUUGCCUCUGAGUUUCUGUAUUCUAUAUCCGGGAAGCAGCCCCAUGCGUGCCCUGCAAAAUUAGUAUGACUAAGAUUGUUAUUUUUGUAUAUACUUCCUUGUUAAUUGGGAUCUUUCUUAUCGACCAAAUCACCUAAUCCCAUCAAAAUUCUUUUAUGUCCUUUUCAUUGGCCUGGGUAUUUCUAGAUUUUGUAGUUAGUUCUGGAAUAUCCAUCCCUGAAAAAGGAAUGCGGUACACGUCAUUUUUACGGUAAGUUUGUUCACUUCCACGAGAGUAUGUAUUGCUCUGAUAAAACAUUGGGGGACAUCACAAAGUGUCUACUUCAAAAUCUGACAAUCUUUUGUUCAUAAGAUCCUCGUAAUUAAUUUACAUCAUCAUCGUGGUAGUACAAGUGAAACCAGCUACACACACUUGGUCGCGAGCAUAGUCGAUUUGCAUAUACACAUGUGCCUCUCAUUGACACCUUACUUGCCGGGAACGAAGUUGGUGGCAAAGGCCCACGCGUUGUUGUUGACGGGGUCGGCAAGGUGGUCAGCGAGGUUCUCAAGGGGACCCUUGCCGGUGACGAUGGCCUGAACGAAGAAGCCGAACAUGGAGAACAUGGCGAGGCGGCCGUUCUUGAUCUCCUUCACCUUGAGCUCAGCGAACGCCUCAGGGUCGUCAGCCAAGCCAAGGGGGUCGAAGCUGCCGCCGGGGUAGAGAGGGUCGACGAUCUCACCGAGCGGACCACCAGCAACACGGUACCCCUCGACGGCGCCCAUGAGCACGACCUGGCAAGCCCAGAUGGCGAGGAUGCUCUGGGCAUGGACGAGGCUCGGGUUGCCAAGGUAGUCGAGGCCGCCCUCGCUGAAGAUCUGGGAGCCGGCCUUGAACCAGACGGCCUCGCCAAACUUGACGCCGUUGCGGGCAAGCAGCUCGGGGAAGACGCAACCGAGCGCGCCGAGCAUGGCCCACCUGCAGUGGAUCACCUCCAGCUCCCGGUUCUUGGCGAAGGUCUCGGGGUCAGCCGAGAGCCCGGCGGUGUCCCACCCGUAAUCGCCGGGGAACUCACCGGUCAGGUAGCUCGGGGGUUCGCCGGAGAGCGGGCCGAGGUACAACACGCGGUCGGAGCCGUACCACGGGCUGCCUGAGGAGACCGGCUUGGCCUUGGCAACGGUCUUGCGCAUGGUGAUGCGGGCCUCUCCGAGCGCCGGCAGGUUCUUCACCGCCUUCCCGGCGAAGGUCGAGGAGGAGAGGGCCAUGGUGGCGGUCGCCAUUGAUGUACUGCUGUACCGUGCUCUCCUAAGAGUGUGAGGCUGGCUCUGGUGUGCGUGGAGAUGGUUUGAGAUGGGCAGAGGAGGUAGCUAUUUAACGGUGCUCUGUGGGUACAGAGAAGGGAAGAUGAUGAGAGAGAUGGCUAGAAAAAUCUGAAGCUGGGAUGCCAUUGGUGGAGUGGAGAUAUCGGCACAGUUGGCGCAGCGAGAGCCUCAAGCCGGUGGAGAUAGCUCAGACUUGCCAUGUGGAGAGGGGCUAUUGGGUGCCGUUGAUUUUCUCGUGGCUGAGGAUAUUGAUGUCGCUGAUAUUUUUUACUCGGACUGGAAGUUGCUGUUUUAGCCGUCAGAAGCUGUUAAAAAACGGAAACGUCGUGAAGGGGAUUGAUCGCCUCGUCUUGUGUCGUGUAUGUUUAGCAGUUGUUGUUUUCACUGUAUUUUCUUGGUCCUCACCGUAUCGUGCGUGGAUGUCGGUAAGAACCUGUAGAAAUGAAAUUCGUGUGCUUCUGCUUCUGAACCGAAACUGCGUAGUGCCAGCUACUGGAGACUGGGACUGGAGGGUGCAGGCUUGAGACGGCGUCAGUUUUGGGCCUAGUGAAACCACGAGGAGGCAUGCCUCCGCGCUCAAGCAGCCAUGGGCCUCAUUGUACUGGGUUGCGCAGCCUUUCAGAGUGGGCCGGAAGCAGGUAGAGUGCGGCUCGUUAUCUCCAGAUACGCAGCAGCCCGUCGCCCCGUCCUCAAACCGUCUAGUCAAAGGAAAAAAAAAGUCCUCAGAUGAGUCCAUCGUGCAGACAUUGGACUCUAGCUGCUCCCACCGGAUCACCGCAAAACCAAAACGAAAAACCCACGGUACCGAUCGACCUGGGCCUGCGGUACAACCAAAGCCCAAAAAGGAACCCACGGAGCGGAGCCGCCCGGGCCCUGCACGCUAUAGCAAGCAACAUCGUCCGUCCGUUUACUUUCCGAGGCCCACCUUUCCCACAGCUCAGAUCCAAAGGAAUCACACGCGCCCGAGCUCUUGAGAAUUCCAGAUCACGCAAGGGCAGCAAGGCGGCCACCGCACGGCACGGCAGUCGGCAGGCAACGCCCUUCCCGCCGUUCCGUCCGUUGGUUCCCGGGCGGGAACGUGCGCCCCCUCGUGAUCCGGCUUUUGCUUGCCCACACGCACUCCCGAGUACUCCCGGCCCGACUCAAUUAUCUUCGUCGCCUCGCUUGUCCCAUCGCUUCUCUCGCUGUCACAACCCAGUCCCUUCCGGAACGCCAAAACAGUCCAACCAACUUCGUCUUCCAGAGCUCAGCCAGCCAGCCGGCCACCACCAAGCACCAACGCCGCCCGUCCCCGCUGCUACCAUGUCCAUGUCGCUGCGCCUCGCUCUCCCCUCGUCAGCGCCCGUGCUCCCGCCGCGGGUGCCGCUGCCCGCCGGGAAUGCCGCCCGUCGCCCCUCACCCUCCCCGGUCCUCGCCACCGCCGCCGCCGCCUUGCGGACGGGCGCGCUCAGGUGGGUUCCUCUGUCCUCGCCCGGGUUUCGCGCCUGCACUGACGCCCGCGUAAUCGGCCUCGUGCUCAUGGUGAUGCGUGACUGUAUGUAUGCAGGGGAUGCGCUUCGCUGCCGCUGAAGCCGCAGCCGCCGGGCAUGAUGAUCACGGGCGCGGGCGCGGGGCGCCGGGGGUCCGCCGCCGUGUGCCGCGCGUCGUCGGCGUACCUCAGCCCGACCACCAUGCACUGGGUCUCCGCCGCGGCCACCGCGUGAGUGCCCCCCCUCCCUCACUCAAAAGUACUCUGCCUUUUUGGGUUCACCAGCUCGGCAACUGUUCGCUCUUUUGCCUGCGAGGACCGUGGCUAACUGCUAGCAUCCGACUGUAAAAUGCGGGAUCCUCGUUAUAGAUUCUGCGGUCUGUUGAUGUCGCUUGCUCAAAAAUUUCAUGGCACGCUACAGCGACAAUUGGAGUACUACUUACUUUUCUUGAUCAAUGAUCACGCGCUGCUAAUCUUUCUAUAUAGCGAGUAAAAAGGACAUCAUGCGAUGCAAAAAUAUAUGAAUGCAGAGCACCAAGGUAAUCUUUCUUCUGUAGCUGUCGAUGUCGUGACUUGAAAUAGCACCACUACUUGUUUUCUUCUUGAGGAUGAAUAGGCAUGUAAAGUUGAACACAACACAAAGUACUUUCUGCAAACUCAGCUAGUGCUGCUGCCUGGUGAAAAGUUGUGCUGUGCAGUUUAUUUGGGUUUUCAGUGAAGUGAAAUGAUUUAGAUCGCCACGUAAAUACAGUGUUAAACUCCCAGUACCCUUUAAUGAUUUAAUGAUUGUUCUUUUUGCAGGGUGCUCUUGCUUGCUAAAGGCACAGGCAUACACAAAUCUUUCCUCGUGCCCCUGUUUGCUCUUCAAGCACCUAGCAGUGUGGUCUCAUGGAUCAAGUAAGAUGCUGCUAUUUGGUGCAGAGAAUUAUCUAUACCUUUUCCUUCUCUUUGUUUCUCAUUGAUGUUUGUUCGUUUUAAAAUAAGAACACUGUCUUGAGGGCCUACUUAUUCUAUGGCAUCAAUUCCUAAUUUUAGGAGUGACUAUGGACUGUGGACUGCUUUUCUUGCUCUUUUGGUGCGCUUGUUCUUCUCCAUUCCAGGUAGUGUAAAAUAAGAUUCAUCAUAUAAAGGUUCAAGAUGGUGUAGGCUUACAGUUACUUUAUACCUUCAUAUCACUAUCACAGGUGAACUGGAGCUCCCAUUAUCAGCAAUGCUGCUUCUGAACGUUGCUCCUUACCAGAUGAUGAAUCUGAGGUACAUCACAGUAUCACAUUGCACUGUUUGGAAAUAAGAUCUUAGCAUCACUAGAACUAGUGCAUCUGUCAAAAUUGAAUUCUAUGAAAAUAUCACCAUGGCAUUAUUAAUAACUCGUAUUAAUAUAUCGAUGUUCUCAAUGAAACUAACUUGAGUUACCAUCUCGCUAUCAUGUUUCUGUACACUACUGUGUCAUAUGUGAAUAGCAGCAAGUACAUCCAACUGACUAUUCAGGAACCACUCCAUAGAGUAUUUUAGGUUUUCAGUUUAUGUCCUGAUUCUGAAAAUUGUCAUUUACCUUUUUGCUCAUGUGCUCACUUUCCAUGUACAGGGGAACUCAAGGUGGUGCGAUAGUGUCUCUGGCACUAGCAGCGUAUCUUGCCUUUCAGCACUUCACCCGGGCCGGAGGUUUGGGGAGAGCCUUUGAUCAGGGAUCGAUAAUUGCGACCUUGGCCAUCAUCUGCGUCACAGUUAUCAACGUGAUCCUGCUGUUCUGAGUUGGAUCAAGUUGGCAAGAGUUCGCUGCCCCUCAUUGUAGGUGUGGAGGGGGAGCAGGAGGUACUCAGGAGUGCAGAUAAAUAAAACCUUGUAAUGCAUCAUCCUGACAGACUUCCAAGCCCGUUUCAUCGUAAUAAGAAUCUUUACUGCUACUUAACUUGCAGUUGCGUCCGUGGUGGCUCGUACGUCGUCCCAACUUCACAGAAAUUACGUCUCUAUGCCACCGUCCGAACUCCGAUUUGUUUCUUCUCUUUCGUGUUCUCGUGUCUCGCCCAGCCCGCUGCCCACGCGCCACCGCUCCUCCUGCCCUGCGCGCCGCUGCCACCACCCACCUGCCUCUCCUCGCGCUCCUCCUCUGCUCGCACCGCCACCGCCCCGAUCUCUCUCUGCCAGCGUUGUCUCCUCCUCCUCCUCGCACACACCCGCCCAGAUCCACCUCCACCUCCUCGCACACGGCCCGCCCUGAUCCACCUUCUCCUCGCGCGAGGCCGAGGAGCGCGAGGAGGAGGCCGAGAUGCGCGCCGAGGCUGCCGCCCGCCAGGCCGAGAUCCGCCUCCUCCUCAUUGUGCUGCCGCCGUGGGAGAGCCGUCCUCCGCCGCGCCGCGUCCCCGUGACGCCACCUGCUCUCCCCCUUCUCAACGCAUCGAGUGCCCGAUGCCGCCAGCCGAGGCAAGGGUGCUCGAGACGUCCGCGAUGACUGCUUCGAAGUGGGAGGCAUCAAUAUUGUGUGGUAAGGUGAGUUCUCGAUUACUGCUUCCCCAUCCUCUUGUGUAGAAAAAUCUUUGUUUCACUAUUCUUUGAUAAGUAUGUGUGAGUGUGUCUUAAUGGUUUCUUCUGUUGGCUCUUUGUAGACUCUAGCUCUUUGUAAUCUUUUGUGCUUUAUGGAAUCCAGUAGAAAAAUCGGCAUUAGGCUGAUUUUAACUGAUAUUUCAAUCUCUUUCAUGCCUUUUAUGUUUGUAUUUUCCUGAUUACUAAUGGUUCACUAGCGUCAAUUCCAUCCGGUUAUUUAAUCAAACAAUAGCAUCUGUAUCAUUGUUUUCUCUUUCACUUUUGCUUGUUUUAUUAGUCUGUCCUAUAUGUGCUAAUGCUAGAGCUUGAAGUCUCUGCUACUGGAUAUUGGCAUUGAAAGAGCAACAGGAAUUGUCUGGUCUAUCACUGGAGGCAAUGAUAUAACUUUGGUGGAGGUAUUCCUGACGUGUGUGUUUUUUCUGCAUAUAAACUACAGUGUGUGUGGGUAUACAUAGCUACCAUCAAAGUUUGUUUCCUACAUGUUAGUGAGAAUCGAAAAUUGCUGGCUUUCAUAGCUCCCUGAAAGUUAAUACAUUUUGAUCCAAUUGGAUAUAUGUGUGAAGUUAUAUGUGAACUGAAUCCAGUAUUAUUGAUUCACUUUCAGGUGAAUGCAUCAGCUGAAGUUAUAUAUGAUCUUGUUUUUCUUUUUUGAGGGAUUAUAUAUGAUCUUGUUGAUCCUAUUACAAAUAUGAUAUUUGGCUCUGUUUUAGACCCAUCAUAUGCUGGUCAAGUAAGUUAACAAAGCAUUUGGUCAAGUAAGUUGACUUGUCAUAUGAAAUCUCAUCUUUUGACUGUACAGCCUGAACUUCUAAUACAACGGCAUCCAUGCGGGGAAGAUGAAUAUGUGAAGUCAGUGGCCGAGUUAAUUGAGAAGGAGCUAUCAAUUUUUACAAAUUCUGAAGAGGUCUGUGCAUUCCCUUCUCCCUCUUUUUGUUUUUCCUUUACUAUUUUUUGUUCAUCAAAUGACUUUCUAUUCGAUUUUUGGUAAAGUAGAAGGUAACAACUGUUGUAGAUUGAACAUUAUCUUAGUGUUAGGCAUCCUGUUGAAUAUCUCUUAAAUAAGUAUCCCAUCUACUGAAUGAUCUAUCUGCGGUCCGUCCUGGCAUUCAUUUGCUUGUCUCCUUUUGUGAUGAUGCAGCGAAUUGAGGAAUCAACAGAUGAUUUUUUUCUGUAUUACAUUUAGUUGCUCUUUGCAUGAUUCCUUUUUUUUACCAGCUUUGCAUGAUUCUUUUGGCAUGGAUGUUGACUGGGAGAUGAAAAAUAUACUUCAUCCAGGUUGAAAAGACAAACAUGGUUCUCCUACUGUGCUCCGUUUUCCAUAUUGUCGUAAUAACACCAAUAUACUGAUAACUAAACCCACUAGAGAGAAAUGUUUAUUAUAAAUGUUUUAAGUUUAAUUCGCUAAACAAUCUGAAAAUUAUGUACAAUCUGUAUAAGUUGAGAUAUAUUAGAAUAGUUUGAUGAGCUAUCAUAACGAUCCAUCUUAAUUAGGACCAAGACUUUAGCUGGUUACCUAGGUUACCUGUAGUCAAAAUUGUUUAAGGCAAAUUGUAUCAAGGUUUGAUGGUUAGAUUGACACUCCAAUUGUUUCUGUUCAUAGAUCUAUCAUCUACAAAUACUUCUUGUGUUGCAGGUUAUGAGCUAUGGCAAUCUUCGUAGAGUUCAAAUGUUGUGGUUCGAUACAGAACAGAAAAAAGAAGUCUCUUUUCCUCUCAAGAUGAGAGUAAGUAUCGGCAAAAAAUAAUAAUCUCUUCGUAGCGAUGCAAUUUCUUAUCACUCAGUCAUGAUGCAUAUAAGAGUAAGGGGAAUGGGCUGAUUUUGUGUAUAUUCUACAUUUUACUUUUCAGUAGUAAUUAGAUGAUUUAUGAUUUUCUUACAUCUCUCAAGGGAAGAUGUUGAGGGAGACCAUAAGGACACUACACAUUAUGUUGCGAAGAUAAUAUUGCUUUCCUGCUCUUAACACAGGACACCAGAGCAUGCAUUACAAAAUAAAUAUUCGAUGAGGUAUGGACGGUUGUCUUGAUGUGUUUAAUUUUGCAUUCUUUCCAAUAAUUUUGUUGGAGAACACGAGUGUCUUGACUUGUUUCGGUACUCCAACAUGGAUGCUUUGUGAUAUUUACAAUUGUGAGAAGAGGAUCCAUGGCCAAGUUCUUCGAUAAUAAUCGUUCAUGUGGAAUUUUGGAUUGUAUAUUGGUCCAUUGUAUUUUUUUUCCUCUCAUAUUGUCACAAUUAUUGAUUAUAUGACUUGGACUAUGUACAUGUUCAUAAGCAGUGGUGUCUCCUUAUCUGAUGAGGAUGACCAUGCAUCAAUUUUUCAUGUUUGUCAUUCUUCUUGUUAAGUUCUAGAAUGCUCAUUUUUCCGUUGCAACGCACGGGCACUUAACUAGCAAGAAUGAUUUGUGAGUUGUGACAUGGCUGACAGAUCUUCAUGUAUGGUAUAGUUUUGGUCUAUUAGUGUUCAGUGCUAUUCUAUGAUUAAUAUUUGCUCCCGUUUGUUGAUCUUAUUGUUGGAUUUUGCACCAAGAUUUUGGUGUCAACAGGUCUCAGCAGAACGUUGGCUACCGACAGAUAACACAGGGCAAUUGGUCUAGAUUCUGUCAUACUUGUAUACCUUUUCUACUCCCUCUAGUCCAUAAUAGGCGCUUGGGUUUUGUACUAACUUAUUAUGGAUCGAAGAGAGUAUAAAAUAACUUCUAGCAUAGGGUCACGGACCUCGCCAAGACUGUGACGAGCCUAUGGGUCCGCUGGAUCUGAAGGAUGCGGAUUGACCCACUUCGUUUUUUGUGUGGCCUCGGUUGUGAUAUCCUCGCCCAAGCUCAAUAGAUUGAUAGAAAACCUUUGCUAACAAGGUGCAUCUUCUUUUCUGGAAUCUCGUCUCAAUAAAACAUCUCGGUUCAGCGUGCUUAGCUUGAAGCAAUAUUGGUUUGGCGACCUUGUGGGGCCAGUCUAGAGCAUAGAGAGCUACGAGGAAUAACUACUUGGUUGGGUGAGUUGACCGACGGAGCAGGAACCUCCGUCCAUAUAUGAGGCACUCUUGCAUUACUAGAUUCUCAAUUUAAUUAAUUAAAUAUGUAUGUUUUUUAACAAAAAAAAACACCAUUAGUCCUUAUCAAAAGAACUUUCUAAUGAUUUUUUUAUUAUUUAGUUUAUAUUUAUUUAGCUAAAUUGACAAUCUAGUGAUGCGUGUGUGCCUCAUAUUAUGGGACGGAGGGAGUAAGCUCCUUAUUAACAGACUUCUGGUUAUGUUCCAGAUCUUGUUGCUGGCUCCUCUUACGGAGUUAUGGCAUCAAACUCUCGAAGCUGAAUUGGAAAUCAUGGGCUCCUAGUGGGUGAAGUUUUUCAUUUAUCUCUCUUGUUAGAACAUUGUUGGAUGACUGAGAGGGUGCCAAGAUGUCUGCGGCAACACGCCUUGAGGUGCUUGUUGUGCGACCAAUCAUUACAUCAUGGAUAGGGGCGGAGCCAUGAAAAAUUUGUAUGGGGACCAAGGUACAAAAAUACAUAGCUUAUAGUAUAAAAAACAUGUUGGUCCUGUGGCUCGGUCAUUUACCAUGGAUCAUUUCCUUACCAGAUACGCGCACCCUCUACGUGAUGUGUUGUUAUCGAUCUGAUCCGUUGCUGGUCCCUCUGUAGCGAAGACGUGUUUGUUAAAUGGUGGCACUUGAUUGUGCGGUACUUCUUGAGUGCCUCACGAAAGGUCACCUCGUCGAUCAUUUUGCUCAUGGCGUGGUGGAUCCAUAAGUACCGUCACGCAAUCGUCUUCGACAAUAUUUGACCCGACUUGAAUUGAGGCUAGUUAUAGCGUGAUUUCAUAAAAUUUCAAACUGAAUUCUUAUACCUAAUUCUGUGCCAAACAAGUUCAUUCUAAAAUCGUAUGAAAAUUUGAGAAUUAUAGAUCGAAAUGGCAGAUGCGAGUUUUUUUUUUUUAAACUUAGAUGCGAGUUGUCUGGCUGUCUUUUUUGCACAUGGGCCAGACAGAGCUAAUUUAUUUUCCUUGACACGCCCUCUCUCUUCUGCCCAUCUCGGUGCCGAGCGCCCCAGCCCCCUCGCUCCGUCGGUCGUCUUCCUCCUCGAGCGCCGCCACCCCUUCCUCUCCAUCCCGCUGCCGAGCGGCCCCAGCCCGUCUUCCUCCUCGCGCGGGCGUGUCCACCGCAGGUUGAUCUCCCCUUCGAUUCUUCCGCUCCCGGCCGUUUCUCCUCCCAUCACCCCACGAACGGAUCCCGCACCUUUAGCUCCCCGUUUCAUCUCCUUAAUCUUCCCCCAAUUCGUAACUGAGGGGAAAAUCAAGGUAGGGCGGGGCCGCCCUACUGGGUCCUCCGCCCGUGACGUCUGUUCCAGUACUAUUGUGUUACAUCGAGUGUAAUUUUGCCUGGUUAUUUGACCUGGAUUGUUGGAUUGUUGGAUUGAAUAGUAGUACUUCACAGCCGUGUUUUCUAGCAAGGUCAACAUCUCCUUUCCUGUUACUGAGCGUGCAAUCUGGGUUAUCGUAAAUUUCCGUAAGUGGAGAUAUUUGAAUAGUUCAGUUUGGCUUUGUUACUUAUGUACUGGAAAACCUCGUGCGUGCCAACAAACUAAUUCAAAACAUGUAUGUGAUAUACAAACUCUUUCUUCGCGGUAUAUGCAAUAUUGCAGUUUUUUUCAUGGGGUUUGUGUGGUACGUCAUAAAUCUUAAGUGACUGGACUUGUUAUGUACUUAUGUCAUUUAGCAUUUUUGUUUUACCAGAGUGUGGUAAAUCAUCAGUGCUGUAUUUAUACUUUCUGGAUUCAUUGACAUUGAGUACCUGGAAGUCUUGGGAGCAAUUUAUGGCAUUUAUAUAGUAGUACAUGUUGAUCUUCAUUCAUUCAGUCCUCUGAACUGUUAAGAACAAUGGCCUUGUCCAAAAGAUUCCCACCUUUUCAGUUUCAAUGUGUCCCACUCUUAGUACCCGACCGGCCUACUAUCUUGGUGUAAGAUAUACCAAACCAAUGUUAAGUUCAACGUUAGGACUUAGAACAUACUUCUGAGACCUGUUAAAGAACUGGGCCUGUAAACUUGGCAUCUGGUUCUUUUUUCCACACACAAAAAAUAAACAAUUGAGAUACCCAUGAAUGGUUUGUGCACUAUCCAUCUCUCCCUUUUUCAAAAGAUAAAUUUUGUGCAUGUCCUUUACAUUGGUUCCCUAGUACUCCCUCCGUUUCAUAUUAAAUGACUCAAAUUUGUCCAAAUAUGGAUGUAUCUAUGCCUAAAAAGCGUCUAGAUACAUGUAAUAGAAAGUCACUUAAUAUGGGACGGAGGGAGUAGUUACUUAUGCUAACAUGUUCAUCAUAACUGCUACAUUAUGGUUCAAAUGUGAAUAUAUUUUCCAGAAUAUGUUUCAGAUUUCCUCUCCAAUUUAUGUAUGUACUGCUGUGUAUGUAUGCUAAAUAUUUGGUGGCUUUGAGAUUAGUUAGCUGAUAAGAAAUUGAUCUCCUUGUAGCUUGUUUGGGCAUCUGUUCGUGCAGUAUGUCGGGGAAGCCAUCUGAUGAUAUGGCUGGUCAAGUGAGGCCUGAAGGAGAUGUUUCAGACGUGAAAGUAGAAACUGCCAACCAGAAUAAAGGAACUGAUAUGCCUUCACCACAGGAAGAGGUAUCAUCUUUUGUUAACAAUCGUAACGUUUAUUUAUCCUUUAGCAUUUAUGUAUACUUACAUGCUAUCAUUUGUAUUAUUUUGCUAAUUUAGCUUACAUUUUAAGACUGCCAAUAUUAUAUCCAUAACCACGAUGUAACUUAACCGGAUACUUGCAGGAGGCAGCAAUCAAGAAAAAAUAUGGUGGAGUACUGCCCAAAAAGUCACCACUUAUAUCCAAGGUAUCAAUGGCUUAGUAUAUUACUACGUUCUGCCAUAUAUACAAUUUCAUCAUCUGUUUAUAAAGCAGUAAGGGAAGUUAAAUUAUUUUUAGCUCCAUAUCCAUAUAAUUUCAUCUGCAUUAUGUCUAUCAGGAUCAUGAGCGAGCUUAUUUUGAUUCUGCUGAUUGGGCUCUGGGCAAGGUAUCGUACUGUUAUUUUGAAAAGCUAAAAGUAAAACUGAUAUUUGGAAGCAAUGUUAACUCUUACACUACAAUCUUGCUCCCUUGAUCCUUGGUUUCCUGCAGCAAGGAGGACAUCCUAAACCUAAAGGACCACUUGAAGCACUUCGACCAAAAUUACAGGUACUGACUGAAACUCUCCCUCAUUGCUUGGUACUCAUGAGAAUGUACUUGCCUUGUAUUUUGCUACCGUAGAGACUUAAUUUUUCUAUGGCAUUAGCUGCUAGCUGUUUGAUUAGGGUAUUUGGUGUUUUUUCAUUCUAAUAAUCAAUAGAGUUCAUGUCCAUAUUUUUUCUGUUGUUUGGCCCAGUAUUUAAACUGGAUUGAGUUUAAAUGAAAAGUCCCCUUCAUUGUUGUCUUUUUUUUUUUUGCUUAAGAGGCUCAUUUGUAGGCGAAUGUAGUGAUAGUUAUGAAGUUAACUUAUGCUAUACCAUACUCAUUUGUUGGCUUACAUCUUUAUCAAUUUUGUUACAGCCUACUCAACAGCAAGCCCGUUCACGUCGAUUUCUUCAUGCAUCUGCUGACAAUGAAGGUACUUGAUGUUACAAGAUGUCAAGCAAGAAAUCCUAAAUGUUUAUUUUGUCAUCGAUUCAAGCGUCACUUUUGCCUUGCAGAGGGGGGCAAUUCACCCACUGAGGCUACGAGCCAGAACCAGGAUUCCACCGAGGGCAAGGACGAGAGCAAGGAAUGAGUACAUGACGAGUAGCUCCAUGUUUUUUCCCAAACUGAACCAUGCCGUUUGAUAAGCCCGCGCCAUUUUGUGGCUGUAGUAAUAAGUACUCUAAUGCCCCUUAAUGCUCGCUGAAUUUUGAACCGCAUUGGAGACAUGCCGCGUCUACUGCGUUCUGCUGUUCCAUGUCUUGUACCUGUAACGAUUUGUGAUGGAAUUUGGAACAUUUUCGUGGCACUGAGUGUCUGCGCAGACAAAAUAAAAAUGUGAGCCUGUGAGAUGUUUCUUCCUUGUGCCACUACUGAUGAGUAGAACCAGAUUCCCUGAAACAAAAAAGAUGAGUAGAACCAGAUUCUUCUAACCUGCGGUGCUUGUUUCUUCUGGUGCUGCGCUGAGACGGUUCAUGUCUGAUGUUCGAAACCUGGGUGCCUGGCAAUAUCUGAACUAUUGAUGUUUUCCCGACUGCUGUAGGUUACGUAUUAUAUUUGAAUUUCAUAGGAUUUCAAGAGUUAUCAUGUAGGAGUAACUCAGUUUGGCGCUAUGGGAGUUUGUUGUCUUUGGACUCGUAGUUUUGCGAAAUUGCUGAUUUUCAAACAUGUUCCUUGACGAAUUUUCGAAACACAGUCCCAUCAUCGAAUCAAACAAAAACUGGAGCAAGCAUUGCUCUUUUAUUUUUGGAGAGGGGAUCAAGCAUUGCUAAUCGCCACCAAUCUGGAUGAAUCUCUGGAGUUUGACACGCCCUGGUCAAGCAUGUUGAGGAACCAACGACGGGGUGGGGUGGCCACCGAGUCGUGCACCCCCACCAAUCCCCCUGUUGACUCAUUUCUCCAUCUAAUAGUUUGUUGUGGACUCUUAUUCAUUGAGCCUAUAUAAAGAAGAGGAGGCUACCCCUCGUACGUACACUUGAGAUCAGAAAUUAAUAAAGAGCUCAUGUUCCUCUCUACUUGGUGUUCAUCUACUUUACUGUACUUCAUGAUUGUGCGUGUUUGAUUAGGAUCUUGGUGUGCAACCUCAGGACCGGUCAGCCGGCAAGAGUUGCACAACACGUUAUCAGCACGAGUCUCUACCCCCAGCCUUCAUCGAGCCUACUCCACGCAGGCUCUCGACAUAAAUCACGGAGGUAUUGGAUCCGAAAUUUUAUUGCAAAAAUGGAUUCCUCUUUGUGUUACGAUUCCGUUUUUGCUAUUAGAUUAUCUUUCGGAUUUUUCUACCCACGGUAUGGAAUUCCCUCGCGAGAUGUUGCCGACCAAGUCGCCGGCCAAUGCCGAUCAUCCUCGCCGCAGGAGGGACUUGUUGACCAUAACCAUGGGGAGACGGUGUCGCACUGUUGUGCUCACCGCCGGCCACCGCAGGCUCCAUGCCGCGAGCCGUCCCAAGCCACCCCAUGGAGCCGCUGCAGUGGAGCACGCCGUCGAGCGCUGCUCCUAGGCGCUGGCCUGGCCGCUGCUCCGAAGUCGUCACCUCACGCACGACGCCGCACCAGCUGCUUCAAUGCACGAGCGCUGCCCUCUGGAUGUGCGCGGGCUGCUGCAAGCACUGGCCGUGCGGGAACUGCCGCUGGCCACGAGCACCUCCGCUGAGUGCCGCUGCUAGAUAUCGCGCCUCGCCAACGCUGCCGCCAGACAUGUUUGGGCGUGUGUCGCCGCGUGCCCCCGCGUGCACUGCAGUCCCGAUGCCAUCGAACCGGUGGCCGUCAGGCUCCGCCGCGUUGGUGCGAGGCCUCGCUGCGCACCCCUGCUGGCGCUGCCGGCCCUGGACGCGCGCACCGCCCGGGCCGCCUCAGGAGCGUGCCAGGCACGAGCGCGUGCCGCCGCCGCCGUCCCCACCUUGUGCGCAGGCUGCCGCUCAGGCACCGCCGCCGCGCCUCGACAACCCCCGUGCGCGGGGCCGCCGCCGUCGCUCCAUUUGCGGGCACGAGCGCGCGGGCGCAGGCCGCCACUGAUGCCGCCUCAGUCGCGGGCACAGGCCGCCGCCGCCACCCAAGGAGAAACCCUAAUGAGGGCUGGCGCGGCUGGGCUGGGCCAGGCGAGGCAGGGAGUUGGGCCACCGGCCCAAUAGGCGAGCGGGCGGGCCAGAUUCGGUCUGGGAUGGUAGAUUUGCAUUUCGGCCCUUGGUCUUUCUGUAAUUAAGCGCAUUGUUUACUGUGCUGCGUUUUGCGACUAAGGCCUUGGAAUUGUCAGUUUUGGCUGAAAUCUCGUAUUUUGGCUCAAAAUGGCUUCAGGAAUGUGUUUUUGGGGCUAAUUUUCAUGUUUAGGAAACGUUUAACUUGCCAUCUCUAUGCACAUGCUUGUAUUACCAUGUUUUACCGUUGUUGAUUAAUUGUAAAUAUGCUUUAUUGCUUUUAAUUAUUAAGUAAGACAUGAACUCGUAUGUUUUAAAUAUUGGAACGUUGUUAUGAACAACUAUAUCAUUUUAUCACAUUUAUGCGCUGGGUUACAUGAGGUUACCUCGAGAUUAUAUGUUGAAAUCUCGUAAAAUUUCGCAUUAAUGAUAUGAAUCACAAACCUGCAGUUCGAGGAGCCGACCUAAAAUGGUUGGACUUGAUUUUUGGAUGUGGAUUUGUUCUCGGAGCUUGGUAGCUUUUGAGGAGGUUGAUCGGCUUGGUGUCUUGUUGACUACCGCCACCACCCUGCGAGGAGAACAUUUAGGCAUUGCACCAUCCCUUUGUACUUUUGGACAAGUACAUACAUGUUGGGAAAGUGUUAUGCUUUACCAGAUGGUCCUGGUUCCACAUGUGUUGUUCAUCCUCGCAUGUCAUAAGUAUUUUCAGGUUAUGUAAUAGCGCGAGGUUUAACCUCGCUAUAACUCAGAGGGGGAGGCGCAAAAUGGAAGCACUAACUGAUUCUAUUAAGCUUGGCCAACCCCCGUUGAGUUUGUGCUAUGUGUGCUUUCACACACGUCUCUCCCGACUAUUGCUACCGUGAUAGCUGAUAAUGGGAUGAGGCCAUGCCGAACUGUGACAUAUGCGGAGGAUGAGGACACCAUCGUCAAGUGCACUUGGCCCUCCUAAUGAUUCAUUUGUCAAUUGAUUUUGAUGAUUCUAUGAUAUAAAAUCACCUGAGGUGGUUGUAUAUGCUCUGAGCAAGCAAAACUUGUUCUUUCAACGCUAGGAUGAUUUGUGAGUUCAUCCAUUAAUUCCUUUAUUUAAUACUGAUGGCCUGUUAUGUUCUGAAAUAUGUAAUGCAUUUACUUAAUUAUGUUGCUACUUCCUCGCUUCAUAAAAUAAUUAGAUGCUAUAUUUUAGAACACGUGGCGCUCGAAUGGAGGAAACAUGCCUUGUGGAUAGUUGUACCACAAACACCAUCUUGAGAGAAACUCAUUAUUUCGAGUCCAUUAAAAAGAUUCCGAGGAGUAUAAUGACUAUCGUAGGGGGCGAGUCAAAAAUAGUAGGCUCUGGACGAGCCACUAUCAUACUCCCCAUGGGAACCACUUUCCUCAUUGAGGAAGCAUUAUUGUACUCAGAGUCGACUCGGACUCUCUUGAGUUUUAAGGACAUCCGCGCAAACGGCCUCCAUGUGGAGACCGAUGAUGAUAAUGGCAAAGAGUGCCUACUUAUCACAAAGCGCGAUGCCCACGGUAAGCACGUUGUUGAAAAAUUCCCUUCAUUCGACAAUGGGCUUUACUACACUAAGGUUGUAGCGCCGCCCGUGUACACUACAUUGUCGUAUAAAGUCUAUUCGAAUGGACAACGCUGGAGAAUUUUCUUCAAAAGACUAUAUUUAGAAGUUCUGAACUAUUUUGCUUAUGGCAUGAUAGAUUAGGCCACCCGGGUAUUAGAAUGAUGUGAAAUAUAAUUAACAACUCAAAUGGGCAUGGGGUGAAUGUUAAAAUUUUCCCCAAUCAUGAUGAUUUCGUGUGCUCGGCAUGCGCGACGCGGAAAUUAAUCAUUCGACCAUCACCAUUGAAAGUGAGGGAUGAAAUCCCUGCGUUUUUGGAACGCAUCCAAGGGGAUAUAUGUGGUCCGAUUCAGCCCCUUUCGGAGCCGUUUCGAUACUUCAUGGUGCUCAUAGACACUUCGUCUAAAUGGUCCUGUGUUAAUUUGUUGUCUACACGGAACCAUGCCUUUGCCAAGUUGAUGUCGCAAAUCAUACAAAUGAGGAAUAAUUUUCCGGAUCAUCGUAUAAAGUCUAUUCGAAUGGACAACGCUGGAGAAUUUUCUUCAAAAGCGUUCGAUGAUUAUUGUAUGGCACUUGCCAUUAAGAUUGAGCACUCUGUACCGCAUGUCCAUACGCAAAAUGGACUAGCGGAGGCAUUGAUUAAGAGGAUUAAAUUCAUUGCCAGACCACUCCUUCGGGGUUGUAAUUUACCAACCACGUGUUGGGGGCAUGCAGUGUUGCACGCCGCAAAUCUCAUCAACUAUAGACCCACGGCGUACAACAUCCAUUCACUUGUCCAACUAGCGCAAGGGUCGGCACCGAAAAUUUCCCACCUUCGUAGGUUCGGUUGCCAGGUAUAUGUACCGAUACCAGCCCCUCAGCGAUCAGCAAUGGGACCGCUCCGUAAGUCGGGGAUAUACGUUGGUUAUGAGACUGUGUCCAUAAUCAGGUAUCUAGACCCCAUGACAAGAGACUGUCAUACGGCCCGAUUUGCUGACUGCAUUUUUAACGAGGAUCUCUUCCCGACUUUAGGGGGAGGAAAUAAACCUCUUGAUGAGAAAAGCCGAGAAUUGACGUGGCAAGCCACGGGGAUCCACGCAAAUGACCCGCGCACAAGUGAGACACAUAGAGAAGUCCAAAAGAUAAUAGAUUUGCAUGCUUUAGCGAAUCAACUGCCUGAUCACUUUAGUGACUUGAGAAGUGUGACAAAAUCACAUGUGACUGCGCGCAAUGUACCGGAAAGGGUAGAGAUACCCAAGGAUCCUAUGGGUCUACCCGCUCGAGUCCAAAGGCCUAAAAGGACGAGAAAUCUGGUUCCUCAAAUCCCAAGUACUCGGGGACGCCCGACUGAAAGAUCGGUAUGGUCGACUGGGGGGGGGGGUGAAUAGGCGGCUAACAAAUUUUAUUUUUUCUUUUCACUUUUAAGGAUACAAGCAUCAAUACAUGGGUUCACUAAAACGUCUAAAUGAUGAACACCCUUAGUAUGAUGUAAUAGCCAAAGCACGAGCACAAGCAAUAGAUAAUCAAUAAAAACUUGCUUGAUAACCGAAGCACAAGAUAAACAAUUAAGCUUUGCGAGUAAGUAAAGGGGCAAGAAUGAUACCACACGGGGAGACGAAGAUUUCACCGGAGUUUCACCUAUUGGGGUCGGUGUACAUCUCCGUUUGGAGGAGUGCUCUACCACAAAGGUAGAGGCGCCACAAAGGCUCACUCUAUUCUCCAACUCACCACACCACAAAGGUGGGAUGAGCUCUCACAACACCACAAAGGUGAGGUGAUUUCCACUGGUGGCUUCCUUGAGGGCAAACGUCGAACCGUUACAAACAAGGAGAAGGGCACAACUUCACAACUUAAUUGGAGGCUCCUUCCCGAAUCCUCAAGCACCUCCUCACAAGAUUGGAGGCCUUGAAGAGACACCUUUCGGCUAGGGAUCCCAAAAUCCCAAGAGUAACAAAAUCCACGAAGGAAACAAGGGGAAUCAACUUUUUGCUUUGGUGAAACCCUAGAUCUAGAUCUCCUCAUCCAAUCCUCAAAGAAUCAACAAGGGGGGUAGCUCUAUGGAGGAAGAUAUAGCACUUUAAAGUUUUAGAAAUGGUGUGGAAAGAGUUGGGCUUCGGAUAAGUUCAUCCUGAGGUAGGGGAUGACUAUUUAUGUGGGUCCCGAAAUCUAACCGUUAUGCACUAAGUCUGGCAGGGGAGGAAGUUCCGGUCAUACACCGGAAGUUCCGGUACCCUGGAACUUCCGUCCUUGUUCCUGUCCAACCUCCGCCAAACACAAAUGAAUUCCAGUAGCAUCACGGAGGUGGGCCAGACGUUGGGUGGAAGUUCCGCCCUACUGGAGGUAGGCCGGCAGUUCCGGGCCUGGAACAGACCUGGCAACACAGUUAGACUUUGGGUGGCUCUCUCUCGGACGGGUAGGCUUUAUGUGGGUGCAAAUAUGGUAGUUUGUGUACGUGAAGUGGAUUCACCCAUUACCUUCCCAUGUGGACUCCCUCUUAAUAGUACGGAGUUCCUACGACUCAAUAUAAAUAAAAAGCCGCUAAACACCGCUACGCUUCUUUCCUUUUUGAAGGCAACGAACCGUCUUGUGCCAUAUGAUCUCAAAUCUGAAACACUCGAGCACACGGUUAGUCCACGAGUCAUGUUGUCAUUAACACCAAAACACUUAGGGAUCGAAUUGUCCUUUCACCGACGAAAAAGGACAAGGGGGAUUUGUCACACUCGGUUACUAAAUAGUCCCGAGAGAGUGAGGGGAGCCAAUUGAGACUUGGCACAAGUACGGAAUCUCCAGCGCAAGAAAUUCCGGACUUUAACCUUCUAACAGUGGAAGCACCCAGCGGAGAUGUGAGCGCACACAUCGGCGCAGAAAAACUAAAGGACCUUGCUCCAGGAAUGGGAAAUCCUAUGGAGACAGAGGAUGCGCAUGAUGCGCCCCAUGACGAAAUGGCCAUAGAUUAUGUUAACAUGGGAGAACCAAUAAACCGAGCGACUGCUAAUGUCGACAUAAACUUUGCUAAGAAAAUUGCCGCAAUCAUCGAUCUUGACCCCGAGCCUAACUCGCUCGCUGAUUGUAAGAAGAUGUCGGAUUGGAAAGAUUGGCAGAAGGCAAUAGCUACCAAAUUAUUAUCUCUACAGAAAAGAGAGGUUUUUGGACCUGUGUGCCGAACCCCUCUCCACGUACGCCCUGUCGGCUAUAAGUGGGUAUUUGUCCGCAAGAGAAAUGAAAAUAAUGAGGUAGUACGGUACAAAGCAAGGUUAGUUGCUCAGGGGUUUACUCAACGACCUGAGGUCGAUUAUGAGGAAACCUACUCCCCGGUCAUGGAUGGAAUUACCUUUAGAUAUGGACUUAAAAAUGAAAUUGAUGGAUGUUGUUAUAGCUUACUAUAUGGUAACUUGGAUUCGGACAUUUAUACGAGGAUACCUGAUGGUCUUCCGGUUCCGAACCAAGACAGAGCAAACAGAGGUCUAUACAAUGUUCAACUCAGGAAGUCACUGUACGGACUUAAACAGUGGGGUAGAAUGUGGUAUAAUCGCCUGAGCGAUUUUCUACAUGAAAAGGGCUAAACGAGCAAUGAAGAUUGCCCAUGUGUAUUUAUACGGCGAUCCCAAGAUGGAUUCUGUAUAAUCUCGGUAUACGUAGAUGAUUUGAAUAUCAUCGGUACGUCUGAGGAUAUUGAGGAAGCAAGUUCCUACUUGAAGUCGGAAUUUGAGAUGAAAGAUUUGAGUAAAACCAAGUUCUGUCUAGGUUUGCAACUGGAACAUUCCCAUGAUGGGAUUCUAGUGCACCAGUCUACCUACACUCAAAAGGUGUUGGAAAGAUUUGGAUUUGACAAGGCAUAUCCUUCAAAGACUCCCAUGAUUGGGCGGUCAUUACAGCAGGACACGAACCCUUUCAGUCUGAAAGAAAAGGUGGAGGAAGUUCAGAAUUUCCUUACCUGAGUGCUAUUGGAGCGCUCAUGUACCUCACGAAUUGUACAUGACCGGACAUUGCGUUCGCCGUCAAUUUGCUGGCUAGGUACAGCUCUGAACCUACCAAAAGGCAUUGGAAAGGUGUUAAGAAUGUCUUUCGGUACCUGCAAGGGACCAAAGAUCUUGUGCUAUUUUAUAGAAGAAAUCAAGACCUAUCUUUGAUAGGCUAUGCCGAUGCUGGGUAUUUGUCGGACCCGCAUACAUCCAAGUCUCAGACUGGAUAUGUUUUUCUAUGUGGUGGAACAGUUGUUUCAUAAAAAUCGUCAAAGCAAAGUCUUGUAUCGACUUCGACGAACCACUCGGAAAUCAUAGCACUAUAUGAAGCAUCACGUGAGUGUGUAUGGCUUCGACGGAUGGUUCGCCACAUUCAGCAGACCUGUGGGAUGAACACCGUCCAGACCCUCACCAUUAUCUAUGAAAAUAAUGCAGCUUGUGUUGCACAAGUACAAACGGGUUAUGUGAAGAGUAAUCUCACCGAGCAUAUAAAUCCUAAGUUUUUCUAUGCACAUGAGUUGCAAAAGAUGAAUGAGGUAAAGGUCUUGCAUACUAAGUCGUGUGAAAAUCUUGCUGAUUUGUUCACCAAGUCACUACCGGCAUCCACCUUUGAAAGGUGUGUGCGUGGAAUCGGUAUGUUGAGACUUAGGGAAAUGCAAGGUUCAGGGGGAAAUACUUCACAUACUCAUCGAUAAAUCUUCACAGACCUGUGGUUUUUAACGAGGCAAUCUAUGCAACAUAGCAACGUAUCUUAUGCGCUCUUUCUCCAUGUGUUUUUCCCACCGGGUUUUUUCGGAGUUUUUGAGGCAUAUGGUAUACGGGUAUCGGCCCAAGGAGGAGUGUUGAGGAGCCAACGAUGGGGUGGAGUGGCCACCGAGUCGUGCGCCCCCCACCAACCCCCUGUUGACUCGUUCCUCCACCUAAUAAUUUGUUGUGGGCUCUUAUCCAUUGUUUCUAUACAAAAGAGAGGAGGUUACCCCUUGUACGUACACUUGAGAUCAGAAAUUAAUGAAAAGCUCAUGUUCCUCUCUACUUUUUGAUGUUCAUCUAUUUUACUGUGCUUCGUGAUUGUGUGUGUUCGAUUAGGAUCUUGAUGCAACUUCAGAACCGGACAGCUGGCAGGAGUUGCACAACAAAGCACAAUCCAGGCCAGACUCCAGGUUAACAAAAGCUUGAGAACGGGCCGGAAUCGGGUGCUUCUGACAUGUGGGCCGAACUCCCGGUCGAAGAAGCCCUUUUAAGCACUAGAGAAAUAAAUAUUCGUUUUCCCGAGCCCUAAAGCCCCCUUUUCCUCUUUCCGCAUCGCGAACCCUAACCGAACCCUUGCGCCGCCGCUGCCGCCUCCGUCCGGAUCCAAGCCGCCGCCGACCGCAACCAUGGGCUUCGACGUGGGCGUCGUCCCCUUCAACCCCGACGGCUGGGGCCCUCCUGAGACCCCGGCCGCGCCGCCGUCCCUGGGCGGUGCCACCGCCACGGCCUCCAUCCCCUUCGCGCCCUUCUCCCGCUCCGAUAAGCUGGGCCGCAUCGCCGACUGGACGCGCAACCCCGGCGGCCCCGGGAUGCACCCCGCCGCCUCGCGCGACUCCGUCUUCGACUUCACCUCCGCUGACGACUCCCUCGCCGCCGCGGCCGAGGACUCCUCGUUCCACCUCGUCGACGCCAAGCCGCCGCCGCGACACCCGCGCUUCGGCCCCAAGUGGCGCUUCAACCAGCGCCCGCAGCUCCCCCAGCGCCGCGACGAGGAGGUCGAGGCCAAGCGCCGCGAGGCCGAGAAGGAGCGCGCCCGCCGCGAGCGCCACUACCAGAACCACCGCUCGCACCACCACCAGGGCUUCCGCGGCAACCAGUCCUCCUCCGCCAAGCCUUCCGUCGACAUCCAGCCCGACUGGACCAUGCGUGAGCAGAUCCCCUUCGCCAACUUCACCAAGCUCUCCUUCACCGUCAACGACCAGCCCGAGGAUCUCCUCGUCUGCGGCGCCGUUGAGUUCUACGACCGCGCCUAUGACCGCGUCAACCCCAAGGCCGCCCGCCGCCUCGAGCGCUUCAAGUCCCGCAACUUCUUCAAGGUCACCACCACCGACGACCCUGUCAUCCGCCGCCUCGCCGAGGAGGACAAGGCCACGGUGUUCGCCACCGAUGCAAUCCUGGCUGCUCUCAUGUGCACGCCUCGCAGCAUCCUGUCAUGGGACAUUGUCGUGCAGCGCGUUGGGAACAAGCUCUUUUUUGACAAGCGUGAUGGCUCUCAGCUCGAUCUGCUCACUGUAAAUGAGACUGCCCAGGAGCAGCUCCCUGAGAAUAAGGAUGACAUCAACUCGGCACAUGCUCUUGCGGUCGAGGCGACCUACAUCAACCAGAACUUCUCGCAGCAGGUGCUUGUUCAUGAAGGCGAGAAGGUUACCUUUGAUGAGCCUAACCCGUUUGCAUCUGAGGGCGAGGAUGCGGCAUCCAAUGGCUACCGCUAUCGCCGCUGGAAGCUGGAUGAGGAGAUCAGCAUUAUUGCUCGCUGUGAAGUGCAUGCUGCCAGUGCUGAUGCAAGCGGUGGUCGCCAGUUCUUCACGCUCAAUGCACUCAAUGAGUUUGAUCCUAAGAUUACUGGUGUUGACUGGAGGCAGAAGCUUGAGACCCAGCGCGGGGCUGUGCUUGCUACAGAGCUCAAGAACAAUGCCAACAAACUUGCUCGCUGGACUUGCCAGGCUUUGCUUUCUGGUGCUGACAUGAUGAAGUUGGGUUAUGUGUCACGAGUUCACCCCCGUGAUCACUACAACCAUUCCAUACUCACCGUGAUGGGGUACAAACCAAGGGAUUUUGCUGCACAGAUCAACCUCAACACUGCAAACAUGUGGGGUAUUGUCAAGUCAAUUGUGGACAUAUGCAUGAAGUUUGAAGAAGGCAAGUAUGUGCUUGUGAAAGAUCCUGCGAAGCCACAGGUGAGGAUCUACUCGGUGCCUAAUGAUGCAUUUGAGAAUGAUUAUGUUGAAGAGCCACUGCCGGAGGAGGAGCAGGUUCGGUUACCUACAGAUGAUGUCGACGCCACUGCAGAGGAGAUGGACGCAGCUGCUGAGGCAGAGGCCAAUAAAGCUGCCACAGGCGGUGUGGGUGAGAAGAAUGCCGAAGCUACUGUUGCCUGAAGGGUAUAAUUGGUUAUCUUGCCUUCUCUAGAUAUAUGUCUUCUCUGGUUUAUGAUCUGUUUUGAUGGGUUACUUGAAGAGUUGAACUGCGUGGUAUCGAUACUGUGUUCUCGUUUUGAUCUAUCAGAAAACUGUUGAUUUUCAAUUUUUAUGCUUGGAUGUGCUAAAUUUGUUAGCACCUAUCGAUUGGAUUUAAUGACUAUGCUGGCAGUUUAAUAUCACUUCUAGUGGUUUAUCGACGAUAUUUUUUUCAGCAAGCGUGUAUGCUCGAGUGUUUUUUCAAUCUUUCAUGGAAUGCCUUGGUUCUCAGAAACGUCUAGAUUGCAUUAAGUUAUAUUGCAGUGGAUCAAUUUGUAAAUCAUGUGCUCUGUUGGCCUGAAUAUGUUGCUACUGGAGUCCUGGUCCAUCCUACUUAGAAUCUUACAAGUAUAGGGUUUCAAUCUUUCCAACUUGAACAGACCAGACUUGUACUAGCAAACGGGUAGAUCCAAGUCCAUCAGGUUUUGGCUUGCUCAUGUUGCACGGGCUGCUAGUUUUGUUUUUCUGCUAGAUUUCAGUAUUGCAUAUCACAUCAAUAAACUGUUGUGUUUUGGAUUGAAACGAGUAUGAUGGAUCAGGCAGCUCCAUCACAAGGAUUUCAGGUCCCUUCCCUUAGAAUUGUACUUCGAAUUCUCAUUUUUCAGUUUCAUGCUGCUAUGCAUCCAGUAUGCUUCUGAGUGCUGGUUAGAUGCAAGUCAACUGUGCUAUAAGCAAGUACUCGCUCCGUUCCUAAAUACUUGUGGCCGUUUUAGUUCAUGUUUGCACUAAAACAGCAACAAGUAUUUAGGAACGGAGGAGCUACCUUGUAGCUUAUCCUACUAACACUAUUAAACUGAAGAGUAUGUUCUGUCCUGUCCAUUGCUUCAGUUCCAAUUCUAGCAGCAUUGGAGAAUACGAAGUGGGGGUUCCUGUAUUUAGUAUAGGAGUUCACUCAUAGUCUUUUAAGCGUGAGGUGUGGCCGUGAGCCUGUAUAGAAUACAAAUAGUGCCAGCCAGCCAAACCAAGCUAGUUCAAGAGGAUCAAAUGGGUAUUUUGGGGCUAAAAGCACAAAUUCAGGCCUGCUCUCUGUUCACUCCCGGGUUAUGCCAAACCUUUGACAGCAUGGAGAGAAGAGCCUGCGCCGUUGUUUGCAAAUCAGAACGCUUCGGUUGGGGGGCCUGGGGGCUCGCAUGAGGAAAAGGUUUCAUGGAGAAUUCAGAAGAAGCGAUAGGCCAGGUUACUCUGAUUCUUCAAGCUUUAAAAUUGCCUCCGUAAUGCUCCUUCAGCACUGAAGAAUCCUGGCCUAAGCAAUAGAACUGAAGAAUCAUGCGUUAUGUAUGACCCCGCUUCAAAGCAAGCCGUGCCUUUCAGUGUAGCUGUCACACGCCAUUCAUUCAGUGCCCCCUCGUUUCUCUCUUGCUGUUUGGUUGCGUCUUGCAGGGAUGGAAUUGAAGAAAGGACUUCUUUUUUAUCUCUGCUCGGUGACAAUUCGAAAGAGGACAUUCUUUACGGAAUUACGGUUCCUGUGGCUGUGGAAGGAAAAGGGGUAUUGAUUGCAUGCCUGCAGAAGCCUGCGGGGAAAUUCAAUGGGACUCGCUUCAGAUCGUGACGAGCGGCGAGCGAGCAGAGCUAGGUUUAUGCUGAAUGCAUUUGCCGAUUUUAAACAGGCCCGCCCGUGUCGCUGUGCCGGAGACUUGGACUCGGUGCGGGUGCUCUGCCCAGAAUAGAAUAGAAGUGUUUUCUGAGAGUUCGAGAUGCAAAUAGGAUGGCAGGUAUAACAUUGUACUCACUCCAUAAUUCUUAUAAUUCUUGUCGAAAUAUUACAUGCAUCUAGACACGUUUUAGAAAAACUACAUCUAUUUUUGAGCAAAUUUGAGACAACAAUUAUGUAAGGUAGGUUGUUUUUAUGAUCAACAGACCGCGAAUUAUUCUCUCAGCGAUGCCUUAGUUGAAUUUGUACAAACCCCAAGACUUCACUCUCUCUUCAGCAAACGUCACGUGAAUCAGAAUGUGUCGUACUCUGUUUUUCCGGAAGAAAUAAGAAAGAGAAAAACUACUCCUACACAUUUUGUUCACAGCCAAGCUUGAUGAUCCCCACACCCACCUACCGCCAGCUCGAGGAAACCCUACACAUUUUGUUCCCCUCUCCAAGUCUCCGCUCACCAUCAUCAGCAGCGAGCAGAUUACACUCAUCAUGAGUGCGCUUAACAGUAACAGCAGCAGCAGCAGCCGCCCUGCAAUAACAAGCCAGCUCUCCCUCGAGCUCGAGCUCUCACUCGCAAACCCUACUACAGCUGCAGGCUGCAGCUGCACUUACUCCCAAGCUCGCUCCACUGUCUCCACCUCACCCCGCACAAAUAAACAACGCCAAUAAAUCCAUCUAUUCCAUCCAAGAAUUGAAGAAGAAAGAAAGGCAAGGCCGGUCACUCGCAUCUCCCCCUCAUGCGCCGCAAGAAGCACUCGGACCGGGGCGGCGGCGGGGGCGGAACGGAGCUCUUCAUCUGCUUCACCUCCCGGCCUUCCUCCUCCUCUUCCGGCCUCCGCGCCUCCGGCUCCUCCAAGGUCUUCAGCCCCGGCCGCGGCGGCGGGAACGGCGCUGCCGACGCGCCGCCGGCCGCGCUGCUCCGGCCCUCGCUCAGCCGCCGUCUCCGCAACAGCGGGAGCCUCAAGGGAGGGCAGUCGCCCAUGUUCCCGCCCGGGAGCGCGUCCGGCGGCGGCGGCGGCAGGCGGGGGCGCGGCGGGCUGGAGCCUGCCGAGCCUUCCUCCCCCAAGGUCACCUGCAUCGGCCAGGUCCGCGUCAAGGGCGGCAAGCGCAAGCCCAAGCACGCCGCAUCUUCCUCCUCCGCCGCCGCCGCCGCGCUGCGGUCCCGGUCCAGGCGCGGUGGUGUAAGCGUCGGCGGCGGGUCUGAGUCCAGCUUCCGCCGCGCCGGCGAGGACAGGGAUGGCUUCCCCCUGGGGAAGAGCCAGAGCCAGGGUCAGGGCCAGGGCCAGAACCAGGGGGGCUGGGUCUACCAGAUCCCGGUCAACAUCUGCGAGGCGCUCAAGACCUUCGGCUCCUGCGGCGGCCGCUCGCUCUGCUCCCCGUCCCGGGAGCAGCGCCGCGGCGGCGGCUCCGCUGGUGGCGACAACAAGAAGCGCCGGCGCGCCCCGGCUGGCGGCGGCAGCUGGCUCUGCGGCGCCGCCGUGGCGCGGUGUCUCCUGGCGAUCCAGGAGGAGGACGACGAGGCCGGGAAGGGAGGCGCCGCCGUUGGGCCCGCGGACGAGGCCAAGGAGUCCGGGGUCGGGCUCGUGAUGCAGGGGUGGGACGUCGAGGAUGACGACGAGGAAGAGGAUGAACCGGGCAUGGUGGUGGGCAAGGUUGAAGUUGAGAAGGACGACGAGAUCUUGGUGGUGGGGGGCAAGGAGGAGGAAGGGAGAGUCAGCGUCUGCAUCCCGCCAAGGAACGCGCUCCUGCUGAUGCGCUGCAGGUCCGACCCCGUGCGGAUGGCGGCGCUCGCCACGCGCUUCUGGGGUUCCCCUGCUGCGACCAAUGUCGGCCAUGUAGACAAUGGAGAGGGUAAAGGCAACGAGGAAGAAGAGAAAGAAGGGGGCGAGGGUGAGGCCUAUGCAGAGAAGGAAUGCGAUGAAGAAGAAGAAGCUCGUGGUUCAACGGUUUCUGCUGAAGAAGUGGCAUGCCGAGAGUGCGGUGUCGUUGAAGAUUGUGGUAGUGAGGCCGGGGAUGUAGGUCAAGUAGAGGCAGAAGCAGAAGAAGAGAGCUCUAAACAUGGAGAUGUGGGGGAGGAAGAGAAGGGUGGAGGUUGCCGAGAGGACGGAGAGGGGAAGGAUGAGCCUGCGGAGGUGCGAAUUGUUCGCAAAGACACGGGUUUGGAGGUUGCUUUGGCAGGAGAAGAUGCGAAGGGCGAAAUCCAAGUGCCGGGAAUGGUGGAGGUGUUGGUGGACUCUAAGGAGCCCGCUGAUGUUCCAAGACAGGAGAAAGAGGAGGAAGAGAUGAAGGGGAGGAGAUCGAUCAGCAGCAGCUCCCCAUCAGCAGCACUGAAGGAGGACCGUAAAUUGCGACGGUUGAGCAGUAGGAGGCGCGUCCCUAGCAGCAGCAGGGCCUCGUCGAGCAGUGAUCGGGUAGACAGGCGACACAGCUUUUCAGCUGAAAUGGAUGCGCGGCGAUCAAGCUUCUCGAGCUUAAAGGACUCAAGGAGGGCUAGCUUCUCAAUCGAUAGGGAUGGACGAAGGUGGAGCUUCACGAUUGAGCAGGAGCAUCUUGUUGCAGAACCUAAGGUUUUGAUGUCAUCCAGGAAGAAAAUUUCCUCCGAGCCAGAGUCAGAAAAAGAUUGCGUUGUUCUUGUUGCACCAAACAGCGUAGAGGAAUCCCAAGAUGAUGAUGGUAAGGAAGAAGCAACAAAGGAUGGUGAGGAAGAAGAAACAACAGAAGGGGUGGAAAUUAACAAGGACGUUGAGAAGUUAGAAAGCAGAGUUGAUGAGAAGGAUGCUGUGGAAGAACAGCAGGUGCAGAGGAAGAAGAGCGGUGAAUUGCCAGAUUGCCUCCUUAUGAUGAUGUGUGAACCCAAGCUCUCCAUGGAAGUGUCCAGGGAGACAUGGGUCUGUAGCACCGAUUUUGUCCAUUGGAAGUCUUACCAGGGACAGAAAGGCCGCAAUGGUCGCCCACAAAAGGAUGCUACUGGUAGCAACGCUGCUGCUCCGGAGGAGCUGAAGGAUAUCAGCAAUGCUCAGGACACCAGCAUUGCAAAGGCCACAGAAGAGAGUGGAGAGCCAGCACUGGUGAACUCCGCAUCUGUGCCACCUCAGAUAGUCCAGAAACCACCACCGAAACCAGCCGUGGAGCAGAAGAAACUUAAGCUAGAGCUGCCGAUGGUUGCCAGUGUGUCUACGUACGCACCGUUCGUUCUGAAGCGCUGCAAAUCAGAGCCGUUGCGGUCAUCCGCGCGCCUGGCACCCGACGCGUGCUUCUGGAAGGACCGGCAUAGGCCCCUCAAUGCCACCGGAAUCGGCUUCUGAUUCCGGCCGAGACCGAAACUGCUGGUAUGCUUGGUUAUAGCUAGCUAGUGACUCUCUUAAGUUUAUGAGCUUUGUUGUGUAAUUGUAGUGAGCUUUGUUGUGCAACAGUAGUAGUGAGCUUGUUUCAUGCUUGGUUCUCUGUAAUGUGAUGUGGACAAGGGGCAACAGAUAGUAGCACGUUAAGUUACAUCAGAUAGAUUAGGGAGGAAGGAGUAUGUGUAAAAAAUCUCUUGUUGCUUGCUUUCCUGGUUGUGCUAUUUCCUUUUUCCCCUGAUAAUCUUAUGCAGUGCUGCAAUAGUCGAGUUUUUUCCCCAAUCAAUAUCUUACAUCCUAUUUCCCUGCUUGGAUGCUACAUAUGAGAAGGUUAUCUUACUUGGGAGCAUAUUCUGUGUGCAAUCAUGGUACGGUGCUAACUGCUAAUGACUAGUGCCAAAAAAAACUGUCAAGCAUCUUUUUCUCAGUUUUUUCUGUUGGACUGUGACACCUCAAUUAUGUGUCUGUAGAGAAUCUAGUAUUCUCAAAAUAUCAGUUGUUUACUUGAGCUCUGCUUACUGUUUCCAGAAACCUUCCAAUUAGGGGGUCAUUAGAUGAAGGGGAAGUACAUCCAGUUUGUCUCUCAUUCUGGUACUUGCGUUUCUUGUUAAGGCAUGCAUAUGCGAUGGGAUCUGGGCAUUAAAAGUUUCUUAACUCCCUGCUGCUCGUACCAUAAGCCAGUGUGUAAUGUGAGUAGUACAAGAAGCAAGAAGGAUUUCAAUUCGUUUCUCUUUCGGCCAAUGUGUGAAAAUAGUACUAACUUGAGUGCUUUAACCUCUUAUUAAAGCUUUGUUUUGAGUUAACUUUAACUCUGGAUUGAGAUAUACUAAUAUACCAGUCAUUAGAUAGCACCAUAGGGUACCAAGUUGUAUCAAGUUUGGCAACAAAGCAUCAGGUAUAUAUGCAUUCAGGUGCUUGACAUGAACACUGUCCAAGCAACAAUGUUAGGGAUACUUAAACAGAGUGUGGUGGGGGACAAGCAGGUAGGGAGUAGACCACCACCACCACCAAUGGCUGCCCUAAAUGCAAUCUCCUUACCUCAAAUCAGACACUUUCUGGUCCCUAUCUCCUCUGCCUGGCUACUUGCCCAGCUCUAAUUGCUAGCUGCCUCUCUACUCUAGUGGCCGAGUGCGAUCAAAGCUCCUCCUUUUUUCCAUUUUUCUGGGUUGCUUUGCGGUGGUGCACCAUGAGUCCAUCACCAUGGCCAAAGCCAACAACAGCUAGCUUUUGGCCUACAGAAAAGAAAUCAAAGGCUAGCUUUGGGGCUUUUGGGCACUGGUAGCUGCUGCUAGCUGUUGUGCUUGCCUCAGCCUCGCACAUGUGCUGCUGCUGCUGGGUUGGUCCACGCCACGCACCACCAGCCAGCAGCAGCAGUAUCUUUGAACGGCCGGGAGAUGAGCUGGGGCCCUUUUGCCGGCAGCUUAGCAAUAUAGCCUUUCGAGCCAUUUGCAGUGCAUGAAUCACUGCACUGGUAGUAGCAGCAGCAGCAGCGCCAGCAGCAGUUGGCACUCACACCGUUGGGGACGCAUGAUUGGGUUCUGAUCUGGACUUGGGGAGAUCUCUUCAUUCUCACGAGGCUAUGCUGGCGUUCUCGCAGUGGAUUAUACUCCCUCCGUCUAUUUAAAUUUGCUCAAAUAUAAAUGUAUCUGUGUCUAAAAAUCAUUUAGAUACGUGUAAUAAAAGAUUAUUUAAUAUGGGACGGAGGGAGUAGAGAGAAUGGGCUUGUGAGGAGCUGGAUUAAUUUGGUAAGAGCACAAGCUAAUCCCUGUUAGAGGGGAUCAGAAAGAAAGGCCACAGAGAAAUGAAGUUCCUCCCACAAAAAAGUACCCUCUCCGAAUUCCUGUCAUUGUUUUAGUUCAAACAAUUUUGGAUCGGAGGGAGUACUUCUUGUUCUUAGAGAAUCCAAAAGAUGUCCCAAGUCUCCAACAAGCGCACACAAACUGAGGACCUCGAUCAAGCAUUGUGCGGAAAAUAAAAAGGGUUUUGUCUUCACUAGUUUCUUUUUUUGGUUGUUUUGUCUUCACUAAUCGGUACUACUUAGUAAAUUAAGCAUUUGUUUCCAACAACCCCUGUCACAGGUUUCUCUGCUCUUUCAUGCAUCCAAUAGCAUUCUAACGAACAACGCUAUCCGACUCAAGAUUCUCCAUGUUUUUUUAUACUGUAAAGUGUCAGACAGGCCGAGGUCGGAUGACCCUGUGUCUAGAGAAAGCUGAGAGAAGGGAGAGCAUAUAUUAACGAGAAAUUAACAAACAAAUUAAUACUCUGACGUUGUUUGCUGUAGUGGCUGGUUUGGUGGGAGAUGUUGAGGAGGAGAUCGCCUCCGUCUUAAUUUGGACUCUUUGGUGGCCUCUGUUGUCGUCGCUUUGGCACAACUCUUGUGCUCUGUUCGAUCCCUUGCACGUUCAGCUAGUUAACGCGCAAGCAAAUUAAACCAUACUCUAUCUAGCAGCUAGCUCUCCGUAUCUCCCUGAACUGCAGGUUUAUUUCGAAAAUUUAUAGAUUAUUUUUAUAAAACAGCCGACGCUAAUUAAUUAGAAACGGAGAAAGUAAGUUUUUAGGUGACAAGUGCGAGAUUAUCAAACGGUUUGAAAGUUUUUAUACUGUAUAUAGAUUCGCAUUUCUACCGUGCAAAAUAAACCCAAAGAUCGAUGUCUCCCUGUACGCACGUAAAGGCUCAAUUGGCUACUAGUGACAUGGUGCCAGUGUCCAUUUCUGCAUUUUGUUUCUAUAGCGAGGAGAUUGUAAUAGUGGGAAUGUUUGCUGGGACGUACAGUAAAGCACGUAGCCAGGACUGCGACAAGAGAAAUUAGCAACACGUCACCACUGUGUGGAGAGAAGCAAUAUGAUGGAUAGGGACGUGUAGCUAAUCUAGCUUGGCCUGGACCAUGCCCAGGAUCAAUGUAACUUUGAGACUUGAUCAUCUUUCAAGGCUCUCAUGUACCUUGCACGCACGCACAGAUAUAUACCAUCAUGGUCGAUCCAGAUAAGCUGCUUGUGGUGUGGUACUACAUAGGUAUAGCUUAAUCAUAGGUUAACGUAACUAAUCAUGUUGCUUUGCUAUGUGUCUGAAGAUGCGGUGUACGCUCGCUGUCUGAUUCCGACGGAUCAUCGACCGACCGACCUGUCCAUGCAUAUAGAGCUAAGCUAGCGCUGGUCCUGAUCGACAAGCCCGGCCAGCUCGCCGUGCCAUUAAUUCAUAAUGAUGAUAAAAUGGAUUGAUCAUAAUGUUGCUAUAGCUAAGGUUUCUUUCCUCUUUUUUGCCCCCCUCGAUCGAUCACUUUUCGUGCUGCACGCGAGGUGUUGGAUUCUCAAAGAGAUGAUCAUAGCUUUGCUUUAGCAACGCUAAAAUCUCAAUCACGCCAAACAGGCAGGGCCUAUGUAUCUAUGUGCCCCUCCGUCCAACAAAAGAUACUUGAUGUAUCUAGACAUGAUUUAGUGUAUAGUUGCAUUCAAAUUUAGUUAAAGUUGAGACAUCUUUUAUUGGACGAAGAAAUUACUGUAUAUCUAUCAAUAUUCCAGGGCAAAAUGAAUUGUUAGCAGAAAGCUUGAAAGAAUUCUAGCUAGCUAAUGGCCUAAUAUACAUCCGGAUCGAGACAGACAAGCAAGUACAGGACCACCAUGCAACACCAAGACCAUCAUACGAAUACUACUACUAACAAAAUACUAAUCUAAAACAGAUUAUUAAUUAAAUGAUUAAGGAGCAUCGGUUGCCAUGCAUGUUGGUAGCGCCAGAAUCGGGGCGCCCCAUGUGACGGCCGAUUGACCAGUCCACAGUCCCUUCCAGUCCAGAGAUUACCUAGCUGGCCGACUCAUGCAUGAGCUUUGCUGCUUGGGUCCUGCUGCAUGCUGUGAUUGUCCCGGUCUCCCAGAUUAAACAUGGAUGGAUGGAUGGAUUGAGACCUCUGAGAGAUGGACGGAUGGAUUGGUACCUGGUUUGUUGGGUGUCGGGAUGAGUUGGAUGGACGGACGUGAUUGUAUGUAUGGAUGGAGAGAACUGAGGUAGUGUGCUGCUGUGUGGGAUUUUUUGAUACCUCUGCACUGCUGACACAAGUCUCUCGUGACUGUAUACCACGAGACAGUCGUUCAACUCAUUAGUCAAUUCAGCGUGACUCGUGCUGUAUCUUAUCUGCGACAGCCGAGGACGGUCUGGUUAUCAUGUAAAGCCUGCACGGUCGUGUACGAGUUUUUUUUUUUUACAGAGGCAAUCGUACGAGUAGUGUUUUCUGGGCUAGAGCCUAGAGAUGGAGUACAAACUAGCUGGGCCUGCUAUGGCAUGGCCGCAUGGGUCACUGAUUCCCUCGUGUUCUCUCGGGUCGGAUAACAAACAAUUUAAAGGGAGGGACUGACUGACGUGGCUGCAUUACCUUCCCAAGGCAACAAAGGCCCCAAGUGUCCAUUGGGCUUCGCUUAAACGGAGGGACUGGCUGACUGACAUGUCGCGGUGCCAGUCCAAUGGGCCGCGCGGUUUGUGGCACCCGGCCGGCCUGCUGGUUACCUGGGCCUCACUUUCAGUGAAACCGAACAACUCGUUCGCUCUUGUCUCACCGCCGCGGGACGUGUUUUUUGAGCCUGCGCAGGAAAUCGUUGGUUCCUCUGUGCUGAAGCAAUUUCAGGGAGAUUCCUUCGAUAAAACACCACGCUGUUAUCUCUCUUUUGCGUUUAUGUUUUGUUUUUCAUAAGAGAAAGGAGGCAACAUGUCUCAAACGCUGGAACGACGUGUCAUCCUCCUCCAAAUCACGAAGGAGAACUGACCAGACAGCUCCGACCGAGUGUGUACGUCCCCGACUAGCUUGAUUUGUUUAGGGGACGUGGCAGGUUUAUCCGCUGCACAUUUAUCGACCGAUUGGCUGACAUUGACGUGCAUGCAUAUACGGAGUAUUUGCAUCUACGGGUGUUGACUUCAGUACUACUUCCGGGUGCUCAAUCGAUUGAUCUGCUUCUUUGGGACAACCAACCACCUGCCGCAUAUCCGGCUGUUACGUGUUGGUGACGUGUACCUGGAAUAUGUACUGCUGGACAUACAUGUCCCAGGACUGACUAGCGGCCCCUGAAAUUACUACUGGCUCGUAGCCUCGUAGGGCGAACAGCCCGGUUCAUCGCUACAGAUAGAUGGUAUUGGUACUCCAUCCGCCUGACCAAAUGUUACAUCCUGAUUCUAAAUUUUUCUUGACUUAAAUUUGCCUAAAUAUGAAUAUAUCUAUUCUUAAAGUGCGUCUACAUACAUGUAAUAUUUCGACAACAAUUUAGAAUUGGAGGGAGCACAUGUGUCUAGACGACAUACAUCCAUGUCUGAAGAAAAUUGAAUAACUUGGUAUAGGACGAAGGAAACAUGUGCAGCGCCGGCCCACGGCACACCUAGUACGAAACUACGGAGUACGAACUCGCUGGAACGACAGAGGAUGAUGUGUUGGGUCCAGCCCGUCCGUCAAAUCGGCCCAGAACAGAAAGCGGCUGCCAGAAAUGGUUCCUUCCCUACUGCGGCUGCUCCACUUUGUUUUGUACUUGAACAAGCUUAGUAUCUUACCCUUUUUUUUUUUGCGAAGAAGCUUAGUAUCUUACCUAGUGUGGUUAAAACGAGAGAUACUAACAGACAGGAGAUACAUAGACAGAUACGUCUGUGUGUGUGCGUGUAUCUGACGACGUACGAGAGGUCUCGACAGGCGCCAUCCGUCCAUUCCAUCGCUCGCAGCAAAGGCACGAUCGAGCUAGCACUCACACAGUUUCCACUGUACCGCUGCGAGCAGCUGAGCCCGCCCCGUCCACACGUAUAAACGCGCACGUCCGCGUCCAAAUAAUUUUGGACCCGAGCUGAGUGCUCGUCUGCUCGACCGCCAGCAGCAGCAGCUAUAUAGCGACCCGGACGAAAGCUGACGGGCCGAGGUUGACAUCAACGUAUACCCCCAGGAAUAGGAAGAAGAAGAGGAAUCAAAGCAGGAGGAUCUUCUUCCGUAUCACCACGGAAAACACGCUUGCAUCAGCAGAAGCACAAGAAACAAAGGUUUUUGCUAGUAGGAGUACUUGUACUGGGGUGCUCGUAAAAGUCAAGCCCGGAGGAGCAAGCAGGGAGACAUGGAGAUUUUCCCUGUCUCCGUCGACCGACCGACGGACGGACGAGCUAGUGAGGAGUGACCGUGUACCGCGGCGAUGUUUACGUGCGUGCCAAACGCCAAGGCCGCACGCCGCCGUCGUGGGGCACGCCGGACCCUGUGUUUGCUAGUACCACUAUGGCAUUAUUGCACAAAUUAAGACGUGACAUGCGGACGUAGAGCCAAAAAAAUUUAUAAGCGUGCGUGGGUCAUGUGCGGAAUUUCUGCAUGAGCAAGGCAACGACGCAAGGCCUACAUAUAUAUAUAUAUACACAUAUACCAGCAUGUGUAUAUAUAUAUAUAUAUAUGUGUGCGCGCGCGUGUGGGUGGGGAGGGGGGGGGGGGGGCGCGCGGCGCCCUUGGGACACGGCAUCGUUCAGCUAGCUAGGCACGUGCUGCAAUCAAUCAUAUAUGCAUGCUACUGAGGCUGCUGUCUUGAUCUCGUGGCUUUGCUGCAUGCGGGGACCCGAUACACACGGCAUGGAGCCAUCGGACGAGAAAGAAAGAAAGAAAGAAUGGGCCGCGCGUUGUUUGCGGUCGAUUCGAUGGAGCGGUGCCUCUGCGUGUGUGUGUGUGGCUCUGGCUGGCUGCAGAUACCACUAGCUAGCGGAGUAGAUUAGAUAUUUUCGGCGCGAUGAUUGUUACUCCCUCACUCAAUGCAGUGUGCCCCUAGGGGAUCGAGUGAGUGUCUACUCUCUCCAGCCUUUUGUGUGUAUCUUCCUGCUGCGUGGGGUACGUAGCAUAUUCAAUUAAUUCGGUAUGGUCUCUUCCCUGCUCCUGCUGCUCUAGGACAAGAUUUAUACGGAGAGUACCGCGCGCUGGUAUUAAACGUGUAGGCCGGCCGGGCGGCGUGGCAUUGUUGUCGAUCCUAGGCAUUCAUGUAGCUAGGCUCCUUUUUCAGCCGUGCAUAUUCGGACAGGUCCACCAAAUUAACUAACGCAGGCAGGCAUAUGAAGGAAUCUCGAUCUAGCAUUCUAGCUAGCUCAUUCAAUCAACCAAAAGCUGUUCAUGUGUUUGGACGCGCGCGCUCGCACGGACGGGCCGGACGGACAAUAGAGAAGCUUCCUCGCGAGAUGAUCAGCGAAAAGCGGCACAACACAAGACGCGCUCUUGGUUUCACGGCCCCCGGCGCCGUACUUAGGUUGAUGACAUCGCUCGCUGCAGUGCAUGCCCAGUCCCCGCCAGCCACCGGCCGAUUUAUAUAUCUAACGCGUCUGAUCCAUCCAUCCAUAAAUCCAUUUCAUUUAUAUAUCUAAACGCGUACGUGUGAUCCAUCCAUCCUCGAUCUUCCUGCCUGCCGGUCGAUCGGGCCGUGGAGCCAUUUCACAUGCGUCAUGCGUCUAAUUCGUUUUUCUCUUUUCUCAAACACGAUAGAGUGCAUCAUCAUCAUUCGAUCAUCAGUUUUCAAUUUUUGACGAUGCGUCAUCAUGAAUGAAUGAAUCCUAGCUUCAGCCAACGCUGACUAAACACAAGUGUCGGUCGGUCGAUGAGGUCAUGUGGCACGGCGUAUUUGCUUAAUUUCCGAUAAGGAGGAAGUUUCCCGGUCUCUGCAUCAAUCGAUGCACACAGUCUUGAUAUUAUCAUUGAAGUUUCAACUCAUAUUUUACAAUUCAAACUCAUAACAAGCUAGAAAAGAACACAGACCUCCUAGCCUAUUACUGGCUCGCAACCCAAACCAGACGAAUAAUUCUCAUGGAACUAUCUCCAAUUGGUUGCACCAAAACUCCAAAUAUCAUCUGCAUCCGUCUGAUGCAGAAGGAAAGUCUUGAUCCGGUUCCACACCGGAUAACAAAGCAACUAUCACAACAUCACCAAUUGCCAGCAGAGCGACAGCAACCACAAUGGCUACCACAACACCACCGCUUGCGUCGACAACACCCAUCCCUGCCGCAAGUCAGGCGGCAUGUCCAGGUCCAGCCACAAGCUGGCCUCCACCAACGUCAAGUCACUGACAGGCGCCGGCAUCACCACCAACAUGACCACAAACCACCCGACGGAACGACGCCGACAACAACACCGACAGCCGCGCCGCGUUGGCCAAAUCCAUAACCUCCAUCAGAAGCGACGACAAACCCACCACCAAGAGUGCCAUCAACCAAGGCAGCCAGGGCAUCACCCAAUCUGCCCUCACCUCCUUGGCCGGCGCCACAACUGUGCCCACUGACGAGGCGAAAGAUCUGCGUCCACCCUUCCCGGAUCCAUCACGACAGGAACGAGAAAGAGGGCGUCCUAGUCGCCGCUCGGCCAAUCCACACACGGCCGAGCCACCUUGCUUGGCCAACGCUGCGAGACCUCUGCAUUCCACAGCCACCACACACCGAUUAGCGACCAUCGCGCGCCGAUCUGCAGCCCUCCCGCCGACGAGCUCGAGACGAUACACCACCCACCACCGUCCACCCCACACGGUGAGAUCUGCCAUGGCGCCUUGGGCAACCAAACCAAGCGUUGCCGCCAGAAAAUCCACCUGAAAAUGCCGCUGCGGAACAUACAGCACGGGCGCAUCCUCCUCCGCUUGAUGCUGCUUGGCAAGGCUCUCCUCGAUCUUGGCGCUGAUAUGCACUAGCAGUACAUAUAUAGGUGCAGCUUGAUGACGCCCCAGCAGCGGCACUUCCCGUCGGCCACCGUGUGCAACGGUGCCGAGAGGCAGGCGGCUACCCAUGGGCGGCUUCUCGGUGUCACUUUUUUCCGGCCAAGAUAAGCACGAGGCACGAUCGCAGGUGUCGUGGUGGUGUCACGGUAGAUGCCAUAGGAUUGUUUAACUUGGGACCGAUGGACGAAGGAUGAACCGGAGGAGGGAGGACGUGAAGGAAAACACGCACAAACACACGAGCGCGCCGCGGAUUACCCAGGUUCGGAGCCCUCUUGCCGAGGUAAAAUUUCUACUCCUGCUUUGUUGUAUUAGCCGAGAUAGACAAGAUCUUACAAUGACGCUCCUUGAGCUGUAUUCUUGAGGAAGAAGAAGAAGAAGGGGAAAACCCUAGAUGCCUAAGUGCUCUCCAUUUCUCCAGGGAGGGGUAGUGCUCUAUUUAUAGGCCGACUAUGUCACACUGACAUGCGGGCCAAGUUCUAACAUCAUCUUCCUUGGGCCCCGCCAGGCACGUGGCUUGGUUCCCUCCGGAUGGCACCGCAGGGGACAAGAUAACUUUACUUUACCUGCCACCCUGCAACAAGUACUGUUGACCUCUGCCGGCUCCCGUCAGAGAUUCUCUUUCGGUGCUUCUUUUGUGCAGUCGUCUGGCACCGCUACGUAAGCGGCGACUGCUUUUCCCGCGAUAAUGAUGACGCUGCUUUUCUUGCGCCGCGUGGUCAGGAUAAGACCGUUGAGGAAUCUCGGCACGGGCCGAGAUCUAGGGGCUCGUCCUUAUCCUGCAAACUCAUAAGAUAAGAUAGUCAUGCCGGCAUAUACCCGGUAUGCCGGCUUAGUGUUAAUUUGGCUUUAUGAUACCGGCAUAGUUGACCAUGCCGACUUUGCCUUUGUCAUCUCGACUAGAGUGCGUCGUCAUGAUCCUAUCCGGGGUCAUCCCCCGACAGCAGGCGCCGCCACCAUGGCCAUAGGAGGAAGUGGUGCGGGAUCGCCCCUCCGUGAAAAACGGAUCGGACGGUUUCUUUAUCUCUCUGCCCUCCACAUUUGCUUAAUUUAAACGCGUGAAAUCAAAUUUAAGUCAUCCCGCGAACAGGGCAAAGGGCAAGCAAAAGUCGUCACCACCGACUCUCGCAAACGGAAGGUCAGUACUACUCCGUGGUAUAGUACUGAGCUAGGUCUACCGACGAUUGGUUUAUUGGUAAGCAAAUUUGAGACCGGCCGGUGUUGUGCUGCCUAGUCCACGUAGCUAGCGAAGGGCUUGGCUUUCUCUCAGAAUCAUACCACUACUGCACUACGUAUGUAUAGGAGUACUAGCGUAGAUAUACAAGUACUAGGUUCUUUGUUCUCGAUUCGAUUCGGUUCGGCGGUCACUUCCCUGCCGUGCCCUGACGAAAUUAAUAGAGCUAGCGAGCGGCCUAGCGUACGUACGUGUACACGUACAGGCAGCAGGGCGCGCGAAAUGGAUUACGGAGCACCAAGCAUUCAACGUAGGCCGGCCGGCCGGCGGUGCCAUUUUUCUGUCGUACGUACGUAGCUUAUUGCAUUUGCAUGAAGCCAUUUUUCUGAUCAAGAAAGAAUGAAAGAAAGAGUUGACCAAAAAAUACAGAGAUGGAUGGACCUCUUGGCUAUUGCAUUUGCAUGCAUGCACGAUUGAUUUACAGUACGGCUUGACGUCCCUGUGUCCCCGCCACUGAUUUCGUUCAUUUGGAAACGAGAAACGCAUUGAAUUUCAACGAUACUAUAUCUACGCAUUUGAUCGAUCGGUCGAAGCCAUUUCACACGUGGCGCGCAUGUGCUUGGGACGAAAGCAACGUGCGCGCCAGCGUGUUGCAUGCCGCUUCAUAUUUUUUACUCCAACGCGCGGGGCAUGCAUAGUACUAUUGCAUAUAGAAAUGUGUUCCCAGGCUCAGGCUGACAAAUUAACCUGUGAGAUUGAGAACACCAUCGAUUUCACGCAUGUGUAACAUACAUACUCCUAUAUACUCUAUAUACUAGUAUGUGCUUCAUUCGCCUCGAUCGAGCAUCUAUAUUGCGUAGCAUAAGAGGUGGUUUUAUACAGUAUAUGGUCUUUAAUUUUCUCAUCGGUUCUACUCCGUAUAUGACACUAUAUUAUUGUAAACAAAAUAAUUGAUGUUGAGGAAUUGAAAGACGGUAACGUGAUAAGAGCAUUUGAAGAAGGCUUGGCUCGAUAAGCAAACAUGCAUGACAGCAGACGGCAUGCAGCCCCAGCUGCAAACGUGUAUAUGCUCGUUGUCGUUGACCCCCGUGCCAUAUAUAUAGAUCGAGUGAUAGAGCCCAUCGAUCGUCCUCGCCGGCCGAUAAUAAUUGUUUACGGAACGGCCAGAAAAGCGUUCGAUCCAUCGUGUGGCUCAUAUGCUCUCCAUGUUAGUUAUAAAUAUACUGGAGUGCCUUUUUGUCUUUCACGCCUUAUAGCUACCAACUUGUUUAAUUGGAUCGCAAUCCAAGUAAAUUUUAAAGUCAUCGAAGAUAUAUCAGAUCGAUCGACCACCGGUAUGAUUAGUUGUACUACUCGUUUCAGUUCUCUUAAUUGUUGACCACCACACACGCUUAAUUACUACUCGAUCCAGUUAACGUCGUGUUGCCUGCAUGCUGCCACCGACACCCUCAUAUAUGGACCUAGCUUCUCCGUGCAACCCGGCGAGUUCAACGGUCCAGAUCAAUAGAGACAACCGCUCAAAGCAAUUCAUCAAGAGACCUGUGCACGCGUCAUCAAUUCAUCAAUUUUGUUUUUCAAAUAACGUCAUUGCGAAUCCUUCAUCUAAUAAUGGAGACGAGAGAAAUGUCGGUCAUGGAUGCCAUUUAAUUAAUCAAGCUUGCGAAUAAUGUAAGAUCAAAGUUAUUAGACGAUCGACAUACAUCACCAUCGACUCCCUGCAGCUCUCCCAAGGGAAGAGUAUAUGAGAUAACACGUUCAACCGGUCCAUUAGGUUGUUAAUUACUCCUAAAACAAUUUCAGAAACCUGCUUAGUUAACGAGCCAGAUGAGGUAACAAAAUGAACAAAGCACGCGUGCCACACAUCGUCAGAGUUUACGCCUCGAAUCCUCGAUUAGUUGGGCCGUCAGCCUCAGAAGACUUUUGACGGCCAACGAUAACGCGCCACCUACCCCGAUCCACCCCACCAGUCAAGAAUUAGCAGUCGCUAUAGCAAACACGUUUUUUUUAUUGUAUUAGUAUUAUAUAUUUCUGGCUAGAACAUGUCGCUAACACAAAAUGGUACCACCACCAAAUGCUGCCGAAUUCUAUUAUUAGUACUUUGUUGGGGAUCUCAUGGAUAUAUACUCGUUGAGAUUCUAGUCCACUCAUACGCGAUCCCAAGGAUGAUCAAACGCUUAAGCUACACUGUGCCACUGUGGUGUUGAUUUGAGACGGGUGCUUAUAUGGGGCUAGUCUUCGGCAUAUUCCAAAUGGCCAUGUUGGCCAAAGUGUAGUCCUCCCUCCGUAGGUCAUGACAAGAGAGGGGAUGAUGUGUGAUUAAUUAAUUUGCAGGUCGUGUUCAUUGCACAGUUUUUUUUUACUUCAUAAUGUGAGCUCCCGCUAUUUCCCAUUUCUUGUAAAAAUAUAUUGCGCGAAAACUAUGGAAAUUGUUGUUGGUGCUUGGUUUGUUAAGUCAAUUUUUAGAAACAUGUGACCGGGCUAGAGCCGAAAUAUACUAGAGUGAUUGUUUGUCGGGUCGAAAAGUAUGCAUUUUUCUUUUCAAAAUAGGCAUAUGAAUUAGUCCUAAAUCAAACUUGUACAUUGGAGGAUUGAACAUUUAUGUGGAGUAUAUUGCUAAUUGGUCCAAAAGUGCAUGAUUUGACCACAGCGCAUAGAUCUCAAAUGAGACCACUCAAUUGUGAAGUUACACCCUACUCUAUACCCUUUUCCACUCAAUUGUGGAGUAUACAUUACUAGCUCCUCAACUCCCAUCCCGUUAGCCUAGCUACCUACUCCCUCCUUCCCAUAAUUUUUUAUGAGACAGAGGGAGUACAAUGACAGCAAGCGUAUACCUACACAGAUUGUACUGUCAUUAAAAAAAAUUCACAUUCAUCGGCACGUCAUUUUUAUUUUCUUUACUUUCCCAUCAAACUUAACUGCGAGUGCGUCCACGCGUACACAAAUUAUAGUGGCAUUCCUUAUAUCUUUCGUGUCGUACUUAGGUACAAGUGAGUGCAUGGGUAUUCCGGACUCGCUCCCUUAUCUUUCUCGUCAUACUUAGCUACAAGUAAGGGCACGGGUAUUCUGGACUCAGUUCAUUAUCCUUCUCGUCAUACUUAGCUACAAGUAAGUGCACGGGUAUUCCGGACUCGCUCCCUUAUCCUUCUUGUCAUACUUAGCUACAAGUAAGUGCACAGGUAUUCCGGACUCGCUUCCUUAUCUUUCCGGUAAUACUUAGCUACAAGUAAGUGCACAGGUAUUUCGGACUCGCUUCCUUAUCUUUCCGGUAAUACUUAGCUACAAGUAAGUGCAUAGCUAUCCAGACUGUACCAGCAUUUUUUGGAAGAAAAAAAAAACACUCAUUCAUCAGCACAUCGACUCGCUUCCUUAUCUUUCACGUUAUCUUUCCUGCCAUACUUAGCUAUGAGUAAGUACACGGCUAUCCAGCCUGUACCAACACUUUUGAAAACAAGCACGCAUUCAUCAGCAAUCGACUCGCUUCCUUUCCUUUAGCGCCUCUUUUACGUUACCGUAACCCGCUCAACAAUUUUUCUCAUACGCGCCGUGUCGCGGUGCGAGCGCGGUGUCCGUGAGUUGUAUGCGCGUACCUCGUGUUCUAAAGAUUUCUCCUUUUUGUAAAACAUUCUAAAGAAAAAAAAAUCGUUGCGGGCUAGCGGGUCACGCCGGCCCGGGUCCGGGCUUUGCCACAGGACCACACCACUUCUGUUGUCCGGACUCUCACGCAAAGCGACGUCAAACACACCAAACACCCGGAUCCAAUAACGCAAAUACCAGAAAUACCCUUACUACUUCCCCAGAACUACUCGUUGUACCACUUGCCACUGGGAGAUACUAGAGGGGCAAGACCGUCUUUAUGCGCCCAAGUCGUUUUACUAAUACCACCCACCUCGCCGCUGCUCUGCUCCUCUCUCCUCACCGUGCUUCCUGCCUCCCUGCUUCGACUUGAACUUGUUCUCCUACUCCUCCUUCUCCUUACGACCUCGUGGGGCGGCGAGGCGCGUCCGUUUCCCCCGGCGAGAUCUCCCCACCAUGCCGGAGGCAAAUGCGGCUGCCCGCGGCGGCGGCGGCGGCGGGGAUGCCCGGGCGGCGGAGCAGCGGAGCAACAACAAGGUAGAGAUGCUCCUCGGAUACUCUGUUCCGGAGCGAGAGAUUUAACUUCCUCCUUUCUCUUUUACUUGCCAUAUUGGUAGCCUUCCCGUGGAUUUCUGGGUGCGCCUGAGCUCUGUUGUGCUUGUGCUGCGGGCUCGUGUUCGUGUGUGCUGAUGGAAUGGAUAGAGAUGCUCUGCUGGAUUUUGGAUAAAGAUGCGGGUUUCCGGGUGUGCGAUUGAUUCGGAUGGCGGCGGGCUCUGGUGACACAAACAGGAAGAGAAUUCGUUUCCUGGCCGGGAGGAGGCAGAGGCACCACCAUGAAUUGUUUCCUUUCCGGAUUCACGGCGAUUUCUUGCCUUGUUAGGAGAUCCGGAUUAUCCAGAAAUCCUCGGCAUAUCUGCAAGAUAUCCGGUUUCUCUUUGCUCAAGGCAUUGAAUCCUUGCAAAUCCGCCUUGUUUUUGACGCUUCCUCGUUAACCCAAAGAUAGCAGCGCGGAAAUUCUUCGCUUGCUACAGUCUGCUCCCUGUGGAUUCGGUGAGGAGUCGUCUUGGUAAAUGAUGGGUAUUGGAUUCGGUGACUGGGUAUGUUUAUCCUAAUCCAAGUCGGCGCGGUAGUCUCUUCCCUUCUUUCCUUUUAUUGGAAAGACAGUCAGCGCUGCACAUAUAUUCCUCGGAAUUCAUGCCCAUCAAGGAGGCGUAAAUAUGUUUUCCGAUAUUUUUAGCCGAGAAGGGGUAGCUUUUUCAAGAGUUGCCUUGCGGCAAGAGUUGUUGAGCGAUCAGUGGUUUACCACAGCAGGAGGCAAAGGCCAGUGCUAUCUUGUUCCACCAGGGACUACUGUUUUUUUAGUGGUGAGGAAGCUUCUGCGAAAGCAUCUGGUAGUUGCCGCUUUACCAUUUUUAGAGAGGGUUGACGCAGAUGGGUUCCUCGUGCGAUUUCAUCUCUAUGAUUGCUUUUUGUUAUUUACAUGCUCUGAUUAUGGCGUUUCAUCAGUUGGUGUAGGUAUUAUUAGGAGUUCAAAUUAUAAGAUAUGUGCCUUUUUUUUUCCAAGUUGCCUUUAAAUAUGUCAUUUUAGUUUUGAGGAAGAAAAUUUGUUGCGUGCAGUGCACAAGGCUAACUUUUCCGACUGAUUUUCAGAAUUCGGAAGAGAUGGGUUUCUUCAGUGAAUAUGUGGAUGCCAGCAGAUACAAAAUCCUAGAAAUCAUUGGGAAAGGAAGCUACGGUGUUGUAUGCUCAGCUAUUGACCAAGAGACUGGUGACAAGGUAGCAAUAAAGAAGAUACAGAACAUCUUCGAGCAUCUAUCCGAUGCUGCUAGGAUCCUCCGUGAGAUCAAGCUUCUCCGGCUUCUACGGCAUCCUGAUAUUGUCCAGAUCAAACAUAUAAUGCUACCGCCAUCGAGGAGGGAUUUCAGAGACAUUUAUGUUGUCUUUGAACUGAUGGAUACAGACCUCCACCAAGUUAUCAAGGCUAAUGAUGACUUAACAAAGGAACAUUACCAGUUCUUUCUCUAUCAGAUGCUUCGUGCGCUGAAAUAUAUCCAUACUGGUACGGAUCUUUAGAUAUCCCCCCUUUACCUUGAAAGGACUUCUAGUACUUCAAUGUUUAGAAUGAGCAUCAACAGUUCUGACUAGUACUUUAUUGCUUGACUGCUCGUUGAAUAUUGUUUUUAUCUAUGUUCUGAUGAUUAAUCUUUAUGUGGCUGCAGCCAAUGUUUAUCAUCGCGAUUUAAAGCCAAAAAAUAUAUUAGCAAAUGCUAACUGCAAACUGAAGAUAUGUGAUUUUGGACUAGCAAGAGUUGCAUUCAAUGACACCCCUACAACAGUUUUCUGGACGGUAUGUUACUUCUACAUUUUACUAGAUUUAGUUGACAAUACUUAUACUUUGUUAAUUCUUUUGGAUAAAUUGGAUAGUGUGCUGUGUUCCGUACCAAAGAACGCUACUUGCAACUUAAGCCUCACUGUCUUCUCCAACUUAACUUGUAGGACUAUGUUGCCACUAGAUGGUACAGAGCUCCCGAGCUCUGUGGUUCUUUCUUUACUAAGGUAAUUAAAGUUUCUUCAUCCUGUGGUUUUGCAUAUUUGGGUAUUCUUUGCGCCACUUUCUCUUUCUCCUACGUUAGGGUUGUGCAUCCUACGGAAAGAUGUUUAAAUUGUAGCUAUGUGUUUCCUUUCGUUUCUCCUUUGAUGCAGUUUUUGCUGAUAGAUGCUUUAUUACUGUGUCAUCAUCAUGGUUCAUGGUCAUCAUGUGAGACAUACAAUGCAAUCCCAUAACAUCAUACCACGCCUUUUUGCUAAAACAAUCGAUAUUGUGAAUGUGGUAUGCCUGCUCAUACUUGAGUUUUCCCCAAAUUAUCUAGUUCGCAGGCUGUGUUGUUCUAUUGGAACUGAAUUAACAUCCUAAAUGGUUAUUAUUAGGUUUUCAUUGUCCCUUUGUUAUGUUUGGAUACAUCACUGGUUUUAAAGAGGUCUAGCAUCACUGGUUUUAACAGGGUGCCUGUUUUGGCACUAUAUUUGUGUACAUGCUCAUAUCAUUACUUUAUGUCUGUCAAAUCUGCUAUCUUUUGUUUUCAGUUCCUAUGUUAAGUUGAUGAUACUAAGCUAACUCCUUCAUUGCAGUAUUCACCAGCUAUUGAUACCUGGAGUAUCGGUUGCAUUUUUGCGGAGAUUUUGACAGGAAAGCCUUUGUUCCCUGGUAAAAAUGUGGUUCACCAAUUGGACUUGAUGACUGAUCUCUUAGGUACACCAUCAACAGAGACAAUUUCUCGGGUAUGAUUGACUAUUUGUGGAAAUGGUAUCAUGUUGAAUACUCCAGCAUAAGUUGUUCCAAUUCUCAAAUGUUGUUUGCUCCUUACUUUGAUUACUGCAGAUUCGAAAUGACAAGGCAAGGAAGUAUCUGAGCAGCAUGAGGAGGAAACAGCCAAUACCUUUUUCAGAAAAAUUCCCCAAUGCAGAUCCUUCAGCGCUCAAGCUCUUAGAAAGGCUUCUAGCAUUUGAUCCUAAGGAUCGACCAACUGCUGAAGAGGUAGUCAUAUCUUAAUGAAACACAAUUUUCAUGUUAAUAUUUUGUGCUGUCAUUUGUUUUGCUUCAAAUCAUAUAUUUACGGUUUAUAUAUUAUUCUAACAAUUGUUCUGUGCAUAAUCAGGCAUUGGCUCAUCCCUAUUUUAAACGUCUUGCAAGAGUGGAGAGAGAACCAUCAUGCCAACAACCAAUUUCAAAAACGGAGUUUGAGUUUGAGCGAAGAAAAUUUACCAAAGAAGACGUCAAGGAACUUAUAUUUAGGGAGAUAUUGGAGUAUCACCCAAAACUUCUCAAGGAUUACAUGAACGGUUCCGAAAAGACAAGCUUUCUAUAUCCUAGGUUUCUACCUUGACAUAUCUUGUAGUCUCUUAUCCCUCUGUAAUUUUGUCUGUGUAGCAUUAUUCACAACUUAUGCCCUUGACUCUUGAUUUUUCUGUUAUGCAGCGCUGUUGACAAUUUCCGGAGGCAAUUUGCGAACUUAGAGAUAGAUGGAGGAAGGAGCGGGGCGGCUGACAGGAAACAUUUUUCUCUCCCGAGGUAAGCUUACAUUAUUACAGUUCUUCUGAAUGUCACCAUAGCCUGUGUUAAAAUUGAUUAAGAACCAAAACGCCUUAGUUAAUGGUCUUUUUCACAAAGUAAGCUUGCAAUACUUCAAAGAUGUAUCCAUGUAUGGUAUACAUGGAGAUCUUAAGUGCUUGCGUACUUGUGAUCUUGGCAGUUUCUGAAAUUUGAUGAUUUGUUCGACAAUCUGCAGGACUACAACAGUCCAUUCUGCGCCAAUUCUUCCAACAAAUGGUCCAACCUCUCAAGUUCCUCAAAGAAUCCCAACAGGUAACUGAUUCUAUUUACUAUUUGUCACUUACUUAUUUGUUUUUUUGUGUACUUCAAAGAGCAUCAAUCUAAUGUACUUCAUCGUUGCCACUGUCGCAGCUAGACCAGGGAGAGUGGUUAGCUCAGCAAUGCAAACGGACAAUCCAAGCGUCUCUGAUCGACACAAUGGACGAAGAGUAGCCAGGGAUCCGGCAGUUCCUCCAGCAGCUGCCUACCACCUGAAGUCAGACUACUCUGACAGACAGCAUCAGCAGGAAUUUGAGAAGGAUCGUGUGCGGCCUGACAGACAGCGUCAGGAAGAGCUUGAGAAGGAUCGCAUGCAGUACAGGCCAGGGCAUCACUCCAUGGAUGCCAAGGUUGCACCAGAGAUAUCUCCAUACAUGCGGUCUUCGCCUUACUACAUACCUCCGUUCAAUGGGAUCGCCGCGGUUGCAAGUGGAUACAGCAAGGUUGCUGCAGUCACAAGGAUGUACUAGAGCAAUGGCCAGUCGGGUUCGCCGUGCCUGCCUUUGCUGAGCGUGAGAAGGGAGUGAGACCAGCCAUGAUUGACAUUCAAGGCACAAAUUCAGAGCGUAAGUCGGUGGUCCAUAGAUGAUCAAGUGAUGCAAGCCAUGGAUGCCAAGGAAGAACUUCUGGCUGUGAAAACGGCGAGCAUCGCCCAUGUCCAUUGCUGUAGAUACUGUGUGCCAAUCUUCUCUUCUUUCUAGAAGAGGGAAGAAAGACAGUGAAUUUUCUCCUCUUUUUAAUUAGGAUUUAGGGAACAGGCGCUUUUGUAUAUAUUACAGCGAGUUCUGCUGCUCGCUGCUGCUGCUGCUGCUGCUGCUGCUUGUGUUAACAGAUUCAAACAAUCCUCUCAGAGGUGAAGUAUCUCUGUUCAAGAGGAAUUUUAAGUUCUGGAGUUCCUUUGCCAGACACCUUUUAUGGAAUGGUCGUAGCUGUGAUGAAUUGCUAGUUGUGAUGGGUUAGCCGUGAUUUUUAAUCCUCAGUCUGGUUGUGAGUACUAUUUCAGUACAACAAAGGAAUCCUUAAAUUUUGUUCUCUUGCAUCCGGAAAAAAUCAAUACCGGUACAUAAAAAUCAUUGGAUAUAUAUAUAUCAUAUUAGUUGUGCCUAUGUACAGUCCUACGGUACAUUUUUCAGAAAAAGGGCACAGAGUUCACUAACCACUACUCAACAAUCUCUAUGACGCAUAGCUUCUCAGGAGAGCAAGAAUCCAAAACACUUGAAACAUCUGUAAUCAGCCGGUGAGAGUUCACCAUCUCUGGCUGGACGGCGACCCACUGCCUGUCAGCAUGCUCGACAUGUUCAUGCUUCUCAGGGUGGGCAGAGAACCUGACCUUGCUAACAUCUCUGCACAUCUUGUUCAAGUGGUCGAUGGAAAGAAACAAAUCAAAAUGAUCAUCCGUUUUAUUGCUGGUCUUGUGGAGCUUGAUGCCGACAUCCACGCCACGAGAACUUGCAGUGCCGAAGAGCAAAGGAUGCCCGAGGACUAGUCCGCCAGACAAGCUGCAUAUCUGUCGAAAGUAAAAUUUGUUUCAGAUGUCAGCUCGUCAUUAGAUUGUUCAAGCUCAAAUUCUCGAACAGCAAAAGAUUUGAAAUGCUGGCAUGCAUAUUGCUGUUGCUUAGCAGAACAAGUUUUCAGUUGCAGAUUGCAGAGCAAGAUGAAGUUUGGUAACUGGAUAUAACCAGAAUUUUCAAAUAGGCAAUGUAUAUUUCAUCCAACAAACCAGACCUUAUGUGGAGUUUUCCAUAAUUUCAAACAAAUACUAAUUCAACACAACAAAAAGUAAAUAAGUGAGAGGGAAGCACGAAAUGAGGGAAAAUUAGGUCAAUGGCACAUGAUCAUACCUGUACAUACUCUAUGCCCAUUGUAUUCAGUGCGUCCAAAAUUUUAUUUGAUGAUAGCGAGCUGAAAAUCGCUCCAGUUCCUGCUGGCCUUUGAAGUAUCUCCCACGGGGAUUUCAGCAGAAUUUUUUUACUCUUUAGCUCAGAAGAUAGACCGACAACUGGAAGUUUCAUCUCUUCAAGGACCCAUACCUGCUCAUUCCAUGAAACAUUUAUUGUAAGCAGAGCUUGGCCAUAUUGAGAUACCAUGUUAUAAACGAAUAGAACUUUAUAUCGGUGGAGAAUCUAUAUUAAUAACUGAACAUAACGGGGAUCUUUCCCUAUUUGCCAUCCAACUCUCUUAAGACUGAUAAUCUAAUAUCCAGACACGGACAAAUUACUGUGGAUAAAGCAACAAAGAUUCUCACAACGCUAUGGAGAAACUGGAUAUACAAAGAAUCCACAUGACGAAUGCGGAAAAAGUAUGCAAGAAUAGAGCACAGAAACAAUAUGUGUACAACUGGAUUGAUGAACAUACCAGCAAGCUUGUAUACUAAAGAACAAAAUUCAGGUUUUCCGUGCACUUUAGAACAGUCUGAAACAAAGCUGAAGCAUUGCUUCUCUGGGCUGGCCUAUGAUCAUUGUGGAAAGCACAAGAACAUAGUGUGUGCAGUUCCAAUAAGAAUGUGGAAUCUAAUAAGACUGCCAAGUUAUUGAAUAAAAAAAUAGAAACAAAUAGUCACAUUGGUUGACCCUUUUUUUUACCUUCUGAGUGUCAAAACCAAAAUAGUCAUUCUCCACCAAGUAGUUCCUAACUGAAUCCACAUGAUCGGCUGGAGAAACAAUAAUGAAUGGGGGAGACAGAUGAUUUUCAUCAACCUGCAUCAAGCAAAAAUGGACUGUCCAUAUAUUAGUAGUUUUUGUAGGUGGAACUAAUAGGAAGCAAUCAGCUGAUACCAAUUACAAAUAUAGCAAACAAACAGCAACCAACUGAUAUCCACUGUAAAUUUUGUCCUCGAAUGAGCAGAUUAGUAGUUCGGAUGAUAUAUUCACCAAAGUAUAUUCCUUGUAAUAAAGUGAGCUGCCCAAUUAUAUCAUAGCACAAUGACAUUGGCAGCAAAGGAGACUGGGUCAACCUUUAACAUAAAGAAUCAUGAUAGUUAGCAGUUCUCAACUUUCCCUACAUCUAUUAUGUUCUUCGCAACUUUAGGCAACACAUGAAACAACCAAGAACUGUACCUGUCAGUCUGUCCUUAUGGCAGCAUGGUCAUAAAAUAUUCAGCUCAAAUACAGAAAAACCUGCAGUGGCCAUCCACGAAAAAUGCGUACCUUCAUUAACUCACUAAAAGAACUAAGCAAUUUCCGAAACUCAGCAUCCAGAACAUCAGAGUCAGAGCAACUUGUAACAAGUAUGAUUGCUGCUUUUGACUUCCGAAGGAUCUCACGGCCUAUGUUAAAUUCAUUACUGAAGACCUGCUUCCCUUUUUCUCCAUGGUUCAUGAGGGUCUUGUAAGGUAUUCUCAUCACAUUUUUUCUUGGUGAAGAGGAAUUUACAAGAACGUUUGUUGAUGUGCUGAAAAUUGCAAAGUUUCGAAGAGUAAGCUGCAGCUAGAUUAAGAAAUCACUAAUACCUACUCCCUCCGUUCCAUAAUUCUUGUGUCAAAUUUGACCAAAAAUGGAUGUAUCUAUUCCUAAAAAGUGUCUAGAUACAUGUAAUAUUUCAACAAGAAUUAUGGAACGGAGGGAGUAUUAUUUUACUAAGAUAACAUAAAGGUUGAUAUGAUUACAUAUAGGAGCAUUAGGAACUGCAAAAAUAUGUGUACAGAAAGUCUUUUGUGAAAAGUGAAGAGCAAAUCAGCUUCUUUUGAAAAUCUGCAGGACAGAGAAUAAUGGGAUUCACACCGCACAAUAUGCACCUGUCAAUUUGCUUGCUGACACAAUGCAUUGCAUGCUUGAACAAUUGAAAGUCAAUGGACCCAAUCUGUUCUGCAAGUGAAGCCUUUUCAAGUUUGUCUCCUGAUAGCAAACCUUCCAGAAUAUGGCCCUGUUCCAUUUCCUGCAGUAUCUUCUUCGCUGCAGUUAUGCGACGCUGUAGCUUCUUCUUUUCCUUCCAAUCCUGUAAAAGUUCAAAAAAAAUGGUCAGGUUUAAAAAUAACAUGGCAGGCAAUAACAAAUGACUCAGAUCAUUGCAUUGAUAUUGGUUAGAACCUAAAGCAUGACAGUUCAGUGUACACUUCAGAAAUGCUCUUUAAAAGAACGGUUGCAUAAGAAUAUAAGAUGCAUCUACUAUCUGCAAUAGUUAUGAAAGCUGCCUGUAUCAACAUUGUGACUCUUAAGAUCUGACAUGUUCUUUCUUUUCAGUUCAAGUUAUGCUCUGUAGAAGGGAUCAUGGCAUGCAUGAAAAGGAGACGCGGACCUAACCAUCGUACGCCUUUCUUUUUUUGAUCUUUCAGGACGCCUGUUGAUCUCAAGAAGCCCCUUUGGUGGUGUAAUCCACAUCUCUCUACUCUCCAUAUCAAUAUCAGGAACAAUAUCUUCAGCAAAUGGAAUCCACACAUGCUCACGGGAUGGAGUUGAAUCCUGAUUUUCUGAAUUUGGCUGAACAGCACUCUCAGCAGAGCCAACCAUAACCUGGAGAAGAUCGCCACCUCCAAAGUUGAAGACCUGAGCAACUGUUCCAACAAGCUUUCCCGUGUCCUAUUAAGGAAAAUAGAAACAUUAACUUUGAUAUCAAAAUUGUGAUGAAACCUCCCACGGAGAAAAAAGGCAUCAUAUUGUGUCGAUGCCGGUGAACAUUUUGAUGGGGGUGUUUACUUUUAGUGGGUGGAAAGAACAAUGUGGCAAGGUAACAAUGACUGGUUCCAACAGUACCAAUAAAAUAAUAAUUGCAUAUGAUAUCACAGCUUUUUUACAGGAAAAGGUAUAUGGUACUGGUAUUUAAUGCCAUGUAAUCUGAAGUAUCAUAUACAACAUUACAUAAGGACACAACCAUAGUGCUAUUUUACAGGAUAUGUGUUCAUUUAAUUUAAGUACUGAAGGGCCCCAACCUCCCAGAGAGCAAGCAACAUAUUACAUCUACUUUUCAUCCAAUUAUCAACUGUAUUUUAGUUCUGCAUAGGCAUCAAUUAUUUACAAUGUAGAUACUGCUGCGCUUUUACCUUUGCUCACAUUGUGGUUUCUUUUGUUUUUACUGAAAUAAACAAAUGAAGCACCACAGACUAAUGGAGUGAAAACAUCAAGGAAGAAAAUGUACCUUGACAAUAACACUCAUGCCGACGAGGUCACGCGAAUAUAUUUCGUCCUCCUCCAUUUCUGGCCUAUCCUCAGAUUUCACAAGUAUCGCUGAACCAACUAUUUGCCUGGCCUAAGAAGAGUUUGGAACGAAUUUGCAUCAGACGCUAACCAAACACAUGACAACUCAUAUCACAGCUAGAUGAUUACUUGCAACGUUCGUUCCAGAAAUUAAACAUGGCCAGUAACUACGCUAACAUUAUUACUAGUUCAGUCAGACAGAUGGAUGAGACAGAACAAGUGGCUCUAUUGGAGUGCAGCAGAAACAAACAGACCUCGUCCAAGGAAUCGACGCCAUCAAAGCGCACGAUCCAAGCCUUCUUCCCCGUGUGGGCUUUUCCUCGAACAAGGUCGAACUCCCUAACCUGCAUCUUCCCGGCAGCACGAGCCCGCAGCCACCUCUUCCCCGGCUGCCGAAUUCGAACAGACAAAUGAUAACGGGGAAUGUGAAAUUCGAGCGCCAACUAACAUCAAACCGACCAGACUAGCAGGAACUGCGAGGGAAGCUGGGGGGGAGAGAGAGGGUACCGUGGCGAAGCGGAGCUGGGGGAAGUCGGUGCGGGGCGACACGAGGACGUCGCCGCGCACCCCGUGGGCGCCGCUCACGUAUCCCACCUCCACCAUAUCCUCCUCAUCCAUAAGCUCCUCAUCCCCCUCCUCGUAGUCUUCCUCUUCCUCAUAAUCCUCCUCCUCUUCCUCGUCCUCGUCCUCCUCCUGCUGCUGCUGCGCGUGGCUAGGGCCGGAGAGGAGAGCGGCACCGGGGCGGGGGGGCGCGAGCGCGAGGCGGCGGGGAUGGAGGCGGGGGAAUGGCGCGGGGAGGCGGAGGUACGGGGAAGGGUGGAGCGGGAGGGAGAGGGAGACCGGCGCGGAGGUUGAGGCGGAGGCGGGAGGCGCCAUUUGCACACCGCGAGGGGAGCUGCCGGUGCCGGCCCGGGUGUUUGCCGCUCGGAGACGAGACGAGCGACAAGAGGAUAGAAGAGGCUCGGAGACGAGGGAAGGUAGGUGGUGGUUCGGGGUUUAGACGCGGCCCGUCGUCGGGUUUAGACAUGGCUGGGCUGUAGAGCCCGCGAGGUUAUUUAAUACGUAGCCGGGAGCUCAAUUUCGUGUGUUUACGAACCCAAGCCCACACCCCUAAAAAAAGGAGCCCAAGCCCAUUACUAAUCGCGGCCCAAUUCUUGUUAGUUUUCGUUUUUCUUUUCAUUAUUCUUCUUCACUUUUAUUUUUCCUUUUUCUGUAUUUUUAUUAAUUUUCGACCUACUGUAAAAGUUCAUUUAUUAGUACUUUCACUGUGGUGACAAAUACAUGAGUAUUUUUUUUUCUUGAAGUAUACGAACAAGAGGGUAACAUGUUUCGAACAUUGUUGCACAUUAAUGAGGACUGUUAAUUAUUCUCGGCGCACUGAUCAAAAUCUUCUUCUCCGUCUCUGGAGGUGAAUCACUCUCUCCCCCGGUGCGAUCCCAACACUGACAGUCCGGAGAGGAAGACUAGCUGUCGAACUCGGAGAAGAAAGAGAGAGCCUGAUUUUAUAGUUUUAUAUGACAACACCUGGUUUUAGUUAGUUACGACAUAAUUAAGUAUUCUUCUGUCCAUAAAUAAGUGACGUGGAUUUGUACAAGAAGUGCUGUUCUUCGGUCACGUGCAUACGGGGAAUUCUGGUACCAGAGAUCCUCGUACUUGGUCUAGCACGUACGAACAAAGCUAUAGCUCUCUAACUCGAUAUACAUUUCCCUUGCCACACAUUAAACUGGAUGCGACCGGCCGGCCGGCCCCGCGAUUGCUUGGCCAAUGCUUGCCGUUUGAGUCCUCCCGAAGCUAGCGAGGCUGCAUGCAUGCAUGCACGGAUGAUGGAUCAGCUGGGCUUGCAUGAAUGCAUGCAUUGCGCACACGGCCGGCCGGGCACACAGACACGUACGCCGUCGCUCUCGCCGGCGGCGGUCGGUGGCUUGGCUUGGCUUGCAAAUGCAGCUAGCUAGCAUUAAUGGAACCGAAACGCUCGCCGUACCACGUGUCCACGUCCAUCGCCGUUCCAUAUAUCUCGAUCGAUCGGUCGAUUAAUUUCCUUUCGGUUCAAAGCUUUGCUCCAUAUAUCGAUCUCCCUGACGUACGUCGAUUAUUAAUGGCAUGCAUGCAUAUGUCUCAAUUAAAUUUUGUGGGUGGUCGAUCGACGCUGAUGGCUAAAAUGAGAUUAAUGCGAUUAACACCGUACUGGCCGAUCAAUGGAAUGCGUUGUCCUGUCUACUCUAGUCUCUCACCUGGCCAGGAAUAUAUAGAUAGUUUCCCUGUUUUCUACAAACUCGACCAAAUUAAAAAAAAUUGAUUUAGUAUAAAAGUAGAACAUUUUAAACUUGAGUAUUUAGAGAGGGAGAAAGCUACUCGAGUAACUAAGGAGCGUGGACUCUUUAUCCAUCCGACGGUCAGCAAACAGCGAUACUACUCCUACAAAGCUAGGCAUGCAUAUGCAUGCAGCAGCUAGGAUCAAAGUCUACGCGUGCAGUGGCCGGGUUGCCUUCAACGUGGAGGCGGUGCCAAUAACGCGACCUACCUUUAUGGUUCUAGCCGUAGGAUGCUGCUUUGAGAUAUGUGCCAGUUUGUAAUUUGCUAUGUUCUAUACAUUAGACAGAGGUGAUUAACAGAGAAAUAGUACAACAGUCUGACUUUUUGGGAUGUGACCGCUGACACCUUUUUAUCUUUCUCUUCUCUCUGCUCUACCCUUUCUCUCUCUUUUCUUUUCUCUGCUCUACUUUUUGUCAGUCACAUACGUAUUUUCUUUUCCUCUUCUCUUUCCUUUUCGGUGUAUUUUUUGUUUUUUUUUCUUUCUUUUCGGAUGAACUUUUGAAGUACCACCUAAUGUACCUCGUAAAUAUGUAGUACCUCGUUAGUACUUAGUAACUCGUUAACUUGUUUUUAAGUAAAUUGUGAUACAUGAAAUGUACCUUCUAAGUUUUUAAGUACCUCGUGAAAAAAUAAAGAUUGCGUACAUCAACUCGUAACAGUACGUCAUGUACUAGAAGAAAAUGAAGUAUCUCGUCAAUACCAAGACUAUGUACAUCAACUGAUGCUAUGUACCUUGUCCCUUUUUAAGUACUUUGUCAAAAUAUCAAAACUGAGUACAUCAAUCUCAUGUACCAGGAAAACAAAUCAUGGUAGGCACAUAACUCAAAGAAAAAACCAAGAAAUCCAUCAUUCUAAGUACAUUGUUGGGAAAUGCACCUUAUCAGUUUUUUAAGUACCCCGCCAAAAGAAAUCAAGAUUAUGAACAUUAAUCUCAUGUACCAGGAAAAGAAAUCACAGUAUCGACAUCUACCUUGUCAAUAUUUAGUAGUACAUUAUGGUACAUCAUGUACCAAGGAUAAAUCAUAGUACAAGAUCGUCAAAACUUAGUACCUCGCCAUGUACCCAUGGUACAUGUUAAUCUUAUUUGCAUACAUUAGCACAUCAAAUAAGAUACCUGCCUAAAGCAUCAAGAGACAAAUACAACACAUGGAGGUACAUGACGGAUACAUGAAUAUACAUGACAAAUAUAUCAUCAAUACAAAGAAGAAAAGGAGAAGGAGAGAGAGAGAGAUUUUUACACUUUUCUUCUUGCUCUCUAUCAAUUAAAAGAAGAAACAACAAUAAAAAAACAAAGCAACAUGGCCACACCUCGUCAUGUAUCAAAAAAAAAAAAAGAAACCACCACGAGAUCCAAAAGGAAAAAAAUACAAAAUCGGGCUCCCCUCAUGGUAUCACAGAUGAUGCACAACCUCAAGCUGGAGAUUUGAGGGAGGGAAACGUCGAUUGGGAGGAGUACCAGAGAUCUCCAAUCAAGAGCGUCCUCACCUCGUCUGCUGCGGUGGGAGGGGCCGGCUCCCGCUGGGCUCACAUCACCUAUGGCUGCUGCUGCAAUGGCGGGGCUGCUAGCUACUUCAGGGGAGAGAGACGAGGCAGGAGAGAAGACUGGGGAGAGAGAGACGAGGCAGGAGAGAGGGAUGGGGUGAGAGAGAGAGGGAGAGAGAGGGGAUGGGAGAUACAGCUGUGUACGUACAUGGGUGGAUGGCAGAGGGAUUAACUUUUGGUGACAGAGAGAUUAAGUAAAGAGAGUACACGUGCUCAAAAAAUACGAUAGGGGUAGAUGCCGUUAUUGGUACCGAGAGCUUUGGCCUUUUGACCCUAGCCUCCAAUCAACAGAGUCCUCUCUUCCGUGGAGCCUAUCACGUUGCUGCUGCUACUGGGCUGGCUGCACUGGUCAGUGGUCACGUUACGUCUCUGGACCGGCCUCUCUCUGUCUCUCUUGUAGUAUCUUUUUUCUCGACACGUAAGUGUGUACGUGGUACUCGUAGUAGGACCUGGGAGUACAUCAGAGGUGGGCAAAAAUGGUGAUCGCCUCCGCACAAAAAGGUACUGCAUGCAUGGAGUAUAUAUGUACACUUACUGUGGCAAUUUCUCUGAUCAUUCAAUGUACAACAAUGUGCAAAAAAGGGAAAGAAAGUUGAACUAAAUAACUCCAUCUUAAUUAAUUAUGUAUCGAGCACAAACCUUUAAUCGGUGCAGAUGAGCAAAUUAUCCACGUGAAACGUCAGAUCUAAAACAUACAAUGCAGAUCAAAGGUGAUUCGAUCACAUGGUUAAUUUGCAAGUCUGCACCAAGUAAAAGUUUACACUAGAUACACCGACAAUGAGAAACAGAUUGUUGAAUGGUAGAUAAGCCCCCACGUCGCCCUCCUCUGGCGACACGGGGGAAACCCUAAUCGCCGCCAGUUCUAGCCCCCUCUCGCCCUUCUCCCCCACAUCGCCCGCCGCCGGAGGGGGUCCGCCGAAGCCCGUGCACGC
RNAcentral lists this long non-coding RNA (59373 nucleotides) under Brachypodium distachyon (stiff brome). RNAcentral describes it as "long non-coding RNA (BDIS_LNC001799)". The stretch from base 52903 to 53027 matches the Rfam family "MIR1120/MIR1122 microRNA precursor family". The record is from RNAcentral. Lineage: Eukaryota; Viridiplantae; Streptophyta; Magnoliopsida; Poales; Poaceae.